This 61741-nucleotide long non-coding RNA is filed under the name Gossypium barbadense (sea-island cotton). RNAcentral describes it as "long non-coding RNA (GBAR_LNC003477)". The stretch from base 5250 to 5356 matches the Rfam family "Plant small nucleolar RNA R71". Lineage: Eukaryota; Viridiplantae; Streptophyta; Magnoliopsida; Malvales; Malvaceae. The record is from RNAcentral.
ACUCUAGUACACUCUUAUGCCUUACGAGUCUAACAAGUCUAAAAAUGAUAGUACCAGCCUCGUCAUGUGUAUUCAUCACAUGUUGUAUGUUGUAGAUGGAACGUAGUACAAAACUCCAAGGUCAUCUCUGAAUAGGUAGGCUCAAUAAUCGCAAAGAAUCGAUCCUACGGGGCAGUAUCGAGAUGGAAUCGAACAAGGUGAGCAAGUUGGACCUACUCCAAAGUGGCCUAAUCAAUACAACGGCCCACUCUUAAUGGCGUACUCGAAGAAGUUGAAACAAGUCGUCCUGUGGACUUGACGAGAAUCGAGGUAAAGGGUGACGAGCUUCGAUCGAGACGCUCAAGGAGGUUGCGCCAGGACCCUUCCACUUUUUCAAAGCGGGGACGACAGUUUUCUUGCAUCAUGUGUUUGUCAUGAUGUCCCUGUAGAAAUAAAAGAAUAUAUUAAUAAUGCAUCACCAAUUAUAAUCAAAGUAAUCUUAAACAAUGAAGAACCAGGUAAUGCUGAAAAGCAGAAAGAAUUAAUAAACCUCAUGCUGGUACCAAACAAAUAGCUAAUAACAUGAAGAAGCAGACUAGCAAUCCAAACAGAAACUAGAACAAAAGCGAUGCAUAGGAUUGCUGAAUAAAAAGAAGAUCAAUACCAUUAUCAAUAUGAAAAAUGUCCAAAAUCCCAAGAACAUAAAAGCAGUAGUCAAGAAACUAAAUAAAAUUAAUGCAAGGAUGAAAAUUGUGAAGACUAAUAAAACUAAAUACUAAUUAAUAAAUAAGUAAAAAUACUAAUGAUAAUGCAAGUUAAAGGGAAAAAAGGUGGAAACUGUUGGUGGUGAGGUGGUGGAAAGAACGGUAAUGGUGAGGGGGUGGCGUUGUUGUGAAAGGGAAAAAGAAAAAAAAUGUGAGGUGGGGGUCAGGUUGGGGGUUUGGUCGAGUGGCUGGGGGGUAAGGAGGUCGAUGGGGCUUAAGGGAAAUGAUGGGUAGUCGGGGUUGUUUUGGGAGAGAGGGUUGAGGGCGCAGCCGUGGGGUGUGCUGUGGACGAGAGGAAGGGGCGAUGGUGACUGGCCAGAGGACGAAGUGGUGACGGUGGCCGAAAUGGAGGGGUCAAAGGGCUGCAGCGGCUAGGGUUUGGGGAGUUGGGGAUGAAGAUAAAAGAAAAAAAAUAUAGGGCUUGGGGGUUAUAUGGGGACACGAUCGUGUGAGGCCCGUGUUGGGCCACACGGUCGUGUCAUACGCCCAUGUAGAUCGAGUUCAGCCCGUGUUUGUCGCAAAAAUUUAAUAUCUAUUCGUCGUACGGCAGAAGGACACGCCCGUGUGUCCAGGCCUGUGGUGCACACGAUCACGUCGCACGACCGUGUGCCAUGUCCUUCGCUUCUCCCACGCCCAUGUGGUAUCCCACACGCCAUUGUGUCCAAACACACGGACGUGUGUCUUGCCCGUGUGGCUCCCUGACUUAUUUAAAAUUUGAAAAUUUAGCUCUAGUUUUCACACAGCCUAGGACACUCCCGUGUUUCCAGGUUGUGUGAGUUACUGUUCCUGCAUAAAAAACACAAAAAAUAGUUAAAAUAAACUAGUUAGUGGUGUUAGUGCUCGGGUUGCCUCCCGAGAAGUGCUUAUUUAGAGUCUAAGCUCGACUUACCUUUCAUUCGCAUGAUUAUGGCGGAUCAUGGAGUCGAGACUCCUCUUUCUCACUAUCAAUUCUAUUAUCCACAUAAAGUUUAAGUCGAGUAAUAUUUACCUUAAAAGUGUUGAAUUGAGAAUAAUUUACCUCGACUUUACCAGAUGGGAAAACAUUCAGUACCGUAAAAAGAGUCGCUUCUUUUGUAUUAAGCUCUAAAGUAGCAAUUCGGGGGUCCUUUUCAUCUAACAAUGCUUUAUCCCCAACUUUAAAUUGCAUUAUUUCAUCCCUACGCUUAUCGAGGUGUCGCUUUGAUUCACCGUGUGCUUUUGGUUUCUCCUUGACAUGUGAUCGCCAUUCUUCUAGUUCAUUGAUCUGAAGCUUUCGUUCUUCGUGGGUCGCUCUGUUCUUAUUGCUUGGAUUAAAAUGAGGCACUAUCACGUUCUUCCUAGGAGAUUCUUGCAAAAAAGUUUGAGUUGUAACAUUACUCAAAUUAAUAGAAUUUAGACAAUCAACUUGAUUACUAGAUAUAUUAGCAGAAUCACGAGCUUGAAGUUUAAUCGUGUCAUCUCCUACACAAAGUAUCAAUUCACCUAUGCCAACAUCAAUGAUAGUUCUAGCAGUUGCAAAAAAGGGCCUUCCUAAAAUUAAAGGUACGUCACUAUCCUCAUCCAUGUCUAAGAUAAAAAAGUCAACUGGGAAUAUAAAUUUAUCAAUUUUGACCAGCACGUCUUCAAUAAUACCCCUAGGAAAUCUAAUUGUUUUAUCUGCCAAUUGAAUGCUCAUCCUAGUUUGUUUGGGUUUCCCAAGACCGAGUUGUUUAAACAUUUUAUAAGGCAUGACAUUAAUGCUCGCCCCUAGAUCAGCCAGCGCAUUCUUAAUAGUUAAACUACCAAUUAAAUAAAGAAUAGUAAAACUCCCUGGAUCUUUCACUUUGUUGGGUAACUUAUUAUGUAGAAUGGCUGAGCAACCUGUGUUUAGUUCCACGUACGACGCAUCAUCCAGCUUCCGCUUAUUCACUAAAAGUUCUUUUAAAAAUUUCACUGCGUUUGGCAUCUGCGAAAGAGCUUCAAUAAACGGUAUGUUAAUAUGUAAUUUUUUUAAUAAUUUAAGGAAUUUACCAAAUUGUUCGUCCGUGAGGUCUUUCCUUGUCGCAUUGGGGUAUGGCACACGAGGUUUAUACUCUUUGCUUACCAGUUUCUGCUUAUUUCGGCUUACCUCAACCUUACCUUUAUCUUCCACAUUGUCUUGCCUCAGUUUUGGUUCAUCUUCAGCAAACCUUUCAUCAUUGUGCACAGUAAUGGCGUGAAGAUACUCUCUUGGGUUAGUUUCAGUGUUACUUGGUAGGCCACCUUAUGGUCGUUCAGAGAUCAACUUGGCUAGCUGUCCUAUUUGAGUCUCGAGCCCUUGAAUCGAUGCUUGCUGAUUCUUAAACGCAGUUUCAGUAUUCUGAAAAUGAGUCUCUGCUACUGAGAUAAAUUUUGUCAUCAUCUCUUCAAGGUUCGGCUUUUUCUCUUGUUGAUAAGGUGAUUGUUGAAAACCUAGAGGAUGUUGUGGUCUUUGAUUUCCUUGGCCUCCCCAUGAGAAAUUUGGGUGGUUCUUCCAACCUGCAUUGUAAGUGUUACUAUAAGGAUUAUUUUGAGGUCUAGAAUUAUUACCCAUAUAGUGGACUUGUUCCUCCUCAGUGCUAGAGUUGAAUGAUGGGUAAUCUGUGUUGUGUACUCCUCCUCCAUUUGAAUCACACCUCAUCAUUGGAUGUAACUGAGUAGAACCAUACAAACCAUCAAUCUUUUUAUUUAAAAGUUCUACCUGAUUAGAUAGCAUAUUGACCGCGUCGAGGUUGAAAACACUAGCUGCUUUUGUCAGCUUCGUUUUCAUGACUUGCCAUUGAUAGUUAUUCAAUGACAUCUCUUCAAUAAAUUCGUAAGCCUCUUCAAGUGUUUUGUUGUUUAAAGAUCCACCGGCGGCUACGUCGAUUAGUUGCCUUGUUGAGGGGUUCAUGUUGGAACACCGGUACCCUCAUGGCACAGCGGAAAAAUAUAUAUAUAUUCUGGCAAUCCAAACCAUGGAUCCAUGUGCGAGGAACGAAUCGAGGUGAAAAAUUUUGAAAUUACCAAAAUUUUGAUCUGAGUAGACAGUGAAGCCUCGGCAAUGAAAAUACUAUUUUGAUUUCGAAUCCAAGCCGCACUCCUUAUGAUCCCGACCUCUACGCAAUCCACCCAGUUGACAAUGAAUGGAAGAAAUCCCAAAAACUAUUUUCAGAGAUAUUUUGCUUGACGGUUGCUAGACCUAAUAGCAAAGCUUCAGGUUUGUAUAUAUACAUUCACUUUUUAGGGUUUUUCUCCCUUUUCUAUAUAUAACUCCCCUUAUAAUUGGUAUGUAUAUAUCGAAUUAAAUUUUAAUCCGAACAUAAUAAUCAUAAUUAAAAUAAAUAAAUAUAAUAAUGUUUUAACCGAAAAUUAUAAUUACAUUAAUUAAAAUAAAGAUUUCGGUAAACUAUAUUUAUUUAAAUUUAUAUACGAACCAAAUUCAUAUAUUAAUAGAAUUAUGUUCUCCUUAUGUGUACAACAUCCUUGUACAUAUAAUAUGUUCGAUAUUUGAUUGCCCAAUUAAAUUAUUUCUAUAAUUAAUUUAAUUCAUGUGACAACCAAACACAAUACCAACUAUGUUUUAUUCCAUUCAUUUCAACCAUAGGGUGUGACCCUGUAGGUUCUUGUAACGUUAGCAAUAAUACUAGAACGAUUCUAAUGUUACAAACAAAUGAGUGGCAUCUAGUAAUGCAUCAUUGCUACCUAAGUUACAAGAAGUCAUGAUUCGACAUAACAUUUUGUGAUUAAUCUUUUAUGCAUUAAUCCUUAAGUGCUUUAUAUCUGGAAUGGACACAAGUCAUGGAAUAGUCACACUUGCAUAGUCCAUCCCAUGUUUCUUGAUACCUUGAGUAGACUAUGAUACACAAAUAAGUAUGACAUCUCAUAUCAACUUAUUUGAGCAUGGUCAUGCAUUUCUAGUCUCACUCAAUCAAGUGGCAUAAGAUAUUACUCAUAUUAUGUAGGAGGGACUUAUCCUAUAUUGAUCAACCAUAUCCCUCUACAUAGAUUGUGGUAUAUCCAACAUCAGCCUUUAUAAAUCAACCAGUUAUGGUGUACAUUUGACUGUAUCAAAAUAUACAACUCACGAUGUUGGGAUAAUGAUAAUCUCAAGUCUGAGGAUCAUAUACAUAUUAAUCACUAUGAGUAAUGUUGUGACACAUAAUAAUCCAAGAAACAUACUCAUAGCGGGUCAGUCUAAUAUGUUGUUCUCUAACACACAUAUUCAUGCAUUGAUUCUGACACUCCAUAUCAAUGACAACUCUUUAUCAUCAAUCAACUACAUGUUAGUCUUAAUGUAUUAUUGUUGUCCUAGUGAACAAUAAUACUUGACUAAGGACCUUUUAAGAAUAAUCAUAUUAUUCUCAGGACAUUAUUAUAAAACAGUUUAUUUAUACACACAGAAAAGAAACUGAAAUAAUAAUGGCAACACCUUAUAUUAAUAAACAUGGUAAAUCAAGUAUGUUAUUACAACCAUUUCAUGAUUGAUCUUUGGGCAUACUCUUACAGUUCACACCGUUGUAAAAAGUCUGAACCUGUAGCCAUAAAGGUAACCCAUGGUGAGGGCACCUUCUUAAUAAACCCUUGUAUCUCUCCCAUGCAUCAAAAAGUGUUUCUAAAUCCAUCUGCACAAAACAAGAUAUAUUAUUCCUCAAUUUAGCCGUUUUAGCCGGCGGAAUAUAUUUAAGCAAAAAAAUUUCAGUCAUUUGUUCCCAAUUGGUGAUUGACCCUCGUGGUAACGAGUUUAACCACUGUUUAGCGUUAUUUCUCAAUGAAAAGGGAAACAACCAAAGAUGAAUGGCAUCGUCAGAAAUGCCAUUAAUCUUAAAAGUGUCGCAUAAUUCCAUAAAAUUUGCCAAAUGAGUAUUUGGAUCCUCAUCUUGCAAACCAUCAAACUGAACAAACUAUUGUAUCAUUUGAAUUGUGUUAGGUUUCAGUUCAAAAUUAUUUACAGCAAUAGCAAGUCUAACGAUACUCGAUUCAGUUCCUGUUAAAUUAGGUUUAGCAUAAUCAUACAUAGUACGAGGAGCAGGGUUCUGAUCUAUUGGAUUUGCGGCAACCACAGGAGGUAACGGAUUAUUCUGAUUAUCAGCCAUCUCCUCGAUUGUAGUAUGGAUACUGACCUCUCGCUCUUCCUCUAUGUAUUGUAAGCUUCGCCUUAUUUCUCUUCGAUUUUUGCGAGCUGUGCAAUUUCGCUGUCAAAAAGUAAAGGUCCUGACGAGUUCCUCUUAGUCAUCAACUAUAAAAACCUGCCAGAAGCAAACAAAAGAAAAACUUAGAAAAGAAAAAUUUAACUGAAAACAAAAAAUAAAUUGCAAUAAAAGUAAAAAUGGCUAAAGUAAUAAAAAUCAAAUGUUCCUAAUAUCUUAUUCCCCGGCAACGGUGCCAAAAACUUGAUGGCCGUGUCACUAACUAAAAAUUCGAAUAAGGCAAGCACACCUAUCAAACAGUAGUAUAGUUAUGGUGAGACCAGAAAUAUCGUAUCCACGAGGACUAAAAGUACUAGUAAUUACUAUCUUAUUAUUAUCUAGCCUAAAGAUUAAGAGAAUGUUUUAUCUAAACCUAAUUAUCUAAUUAACUAAGAUUACAAUAGAAAUUGAACUUCGAAAAUACUUUUUAGAAAACCGAUGGAGAAGACAAUACCCAAGGAAGCAUCCACCUAGACUUCACUUAUUACCUUUGAAUUAGACGACUUAUUCACUUGACUUAAUCCGUAGAAAUCCCUGAUUUAUGUUAAUAUCCCUUUCAAGACUAAAAACAACUGACUCUAGGUUGAUUAAUUGAAAUCUCUUUCUAAUUAAAACCCCUAUUGUCGCAUUAACUCGAUCUAUGGAUUCCCUUCUUAGAUUUAUGUCGUCCUAUCUCUAGGAUUGCAUCCAACUCCGCUUAAUUAUGAAGGAUCUGCUCUUAAACAGAGACUUUUGCUCCACUGAUUAAGCACAUCAAAAACCUGAAUUAAUAUCCUGGAAUAUUAAAGCAAUGAUUAAAACUCACAAUUAAGAAUAAGAACAAAUAUUUAUCAUAUAAAUCAAAGAGUAAUAAGAUUCAUCCUAGGUUUUAUCUCCUUUAGGUAUUUAAGGAGUUUAGUUCAUAAUAAUAAUGGAAAACAUCUCAAAGUUUGGAAAAUAACAAAACAUAAAGAAACCCAAAGAACUCCUAGUAGAUUGAGUGGAAGUCUUCAGUCUUGUUGUAGCUCCUGCCUUUAAGAUGAUUCUGAUGGCUAUCCUUAGGUAUUUUCUACUUUCCACUCUACGUGUCCCCUUUGAUCCUCUUCUACGGGUUUAAAUAGACUUUGAAAAGCCCAAAAUAGACCAAAAUUAGCCUUUUCUGAAUAGAAUUAGACUUAGGUAUAACAGGGACACGGCCGUGUGACACCCCCGUGUGAAGGUGCUUAAGCCGUGUGCAAUUCUAAAUUGGUUUUUAGUCGACACGACUGAUAAACGCCAAAUUAUACAUAUUUAUACCCCAAAUACUUAGCAUAUUUAUGGAUGUUUAUUACUAGAUUUGUGGAUUUUGGUGCUCUUAAUCCGGUUAUUUCAUGUUUUGUACUCAAGAGAGCACCAAGAGUCAAAAGGAGCCAAAAACGAGCAAAAAAGGGACAAAACAAACCAAAUCGAAAAGAUGACACGGCCUAAGCCUUGCCACACGGACAUCUCACACGCUCGUGGCCUUAGAGGGUGUCAACCAAGGUUUACACGAUUCACACGGCCUGGCCAUUAAGCCCAUACGACCGUGUGCAAUUUAACGGAUCGAACACGGCCUGGCAAUCACGUCACACGGUCGUGGCACACGGGCAUGUCCCUUUUUCAAAUAUUUGUAUUUUACACAGAAAAGGGUACUUAGGGAGGAAGAAAAGUCAAUCCAAAGCCUAUAUAAACACCCUAAGUGUGACUUAAAAAGGGGGCUUCUUCCAGAACUUUUCUGGAAUACAGAACCACACGCUGGGAAUUACUUGAAGGAAGCCAGACGAUCCAUCCCAAAAUCCGGAGCUACUCCAAGACUAAAGAUCUCCCUCAGAAUUCCUUUAGGGGAUUUUUCUUCAUGUUUUGUUAUUUUUAUACUUUUAAGAUAUACUCUUAUUUUAUUAUGAGAUAAACCCCUUAGAUGCCUAAGGGGGAUAAAACCUAUGAUGGAUCUUGUUAUUAUUAUCUGAACUGUAUGAUAAAUACUUGAUUUGUUCUUAAUUAUGUGUUCUUAAUGCUUGAGUUAAUAUUCCAGGUAUUAAUUCAAGAUUUGAUGUGCUUAUGCAGAGGAGGAAUAGACCCUGCCUAAGAGUAGAUUUGGCAUAAUUAAGCGGAGUUGAUCGAACACCUAGAAAUAGGGUUACGAGAUUUUACCGGAUUAGGGUGAAACCUAAUAUGGGAGUCCAUUGAGUGAUUUACUGCUUCCCUAGGGGUUUUAAUUAAGAAAGAAAUUUUGAUUAAUUCAACUGAGGGUUAGACGUUAUUAGUCUUGAAAGGGAUAAUAACAUAGGUUAGGGAAUCUCACGGAUCAAGUCAAGUGAAUAAAUCGUCUGGUUUAGAGUCAGAUAACAAGUGACAUCUAGGUGGAUUCCUCCUUGGGUGUCGUUUUUAUCAAUUGCUUUUCUUCAAGUCUUUUUCCAAAUUUUCUCUUUGCUUUAAUUAAAUUAGUUAAUUAGUUUAGAUAAUCAGCUUGAUAAACAAACCCUUUUAUUCUUAGGCUAGAUAAUAAAAAGAUAGUUAUUACUAGUACUUUUGGUUCCCUUGGGUACGAUAUCCUGGUAUUGCCAUUACUAUACUAUUGUUCGAUAAGUGCGCUUGCCUUUUCGUCCUGAUAAUAGUUAGUCUAGGUUUGAUCUUCAUUAUAAAUAUUUAUUACUUGUUACAAAUCACGCCAUCAAGUUUUUGGCGCCGUUGUCGGGGAAUACAAAAUAUUAGGAACGUAAAAUUUUUAUUACUUUAGUCGUUUAUUCUUUUCUUGCAAUUUAAUUUUAGUUUUUAUUAUUAUUAUUUAUUAAUUUACUUAUUUUUUCUCUUGGCAGGUUUUUAUAGUUUAUGACUAGAAGAAACCCGUCAGGACCAUUACUUUUUGACGAAGAAAUCGAUCAUACAAGUUGUAAAAAUCAAAGAGAAAUAAGGUGCAGCUUACGAUAUACGGACAACAAGCAAGAAGAUGAUACUCGACCCCCACCGACGAGAUGGAUGAAAACCAAGGCAAUCAGUUACCUCCCGCAAUUACGACUAAUCAAAAUCCUGCUCCAUGUACUAUGUAUGAUUAUGCUAAACCUUUUUUAACAGGAACUGAAUCUAGUAUAGUUAGACCUGCAGUAGCUGCAAAUACUUUUGAGUUAAAACCUAACACUAUUCAGAUGAUACAGCAGUUUGUUCAGUUUGAUGGUUUGCAGGACGAAGAUCCCAACUCUCACUUAGCAAAUUUCCUGGAAUUUUGCGAUACAUUCAAAAUCAAUGGCAUUUCUAAUGAGGCCAUACGUCUUCAGUUGUUUCCCUUUUCACUGAGAAACAAAGCUAAACAGUGGCUAAAACGAGAAAUUUUUACUAAAAUAUUUUUCGUCGGCUAAAAUGGCUAAAUUACGUAAUGAUAUCUCUUUUUUUGUGCAGAUGGAUUUAGAAACACUUUACGAUGCAUGGGAGAGAUACAAGGACUUACUGAGAAUGUGCCCUCACCAUGGGUUACCGCUUUGGCUUCAAGUACAAACAUUCCACAAUGGUCUGAAUCCCUCGACUUGGCAAAUGGUUGACGCAGCUGCUGGCGGGACCAUCAACAAUAAAACACCAGAAGAUGCAUAUGAGUUUAUAGAGGAGAUGUCAUUGAAUAACUAUCAGUGGCAAGUUAUGAGGACAAAGCCAACGAAAACAGCUGGCGUUUAUAACAUCAAUUCGGUUACCAUGCUCUCUAAUCAGGUAGAACUUCUCAAUAAAAAGAUUGACGAUUUACUUGGUUCUACGCAGGUACAUCCAGUAAUGAGGUGUGACUCAAGUGGCGGAGGUGUGGAUACAAAAUACCAAUCCUUCAAUCCUACAACUAAAGAAGAACAAGUCAACUAUAUGGGUAACAAUAACUUCCGAUCUCAAAAUAACCCAUACAGUAAUACUUAUAAUGCAGGUUGGAGGAACCACCCAAAUUUCUCCUGAGGUGGUCAAGGGAAUCAAAAGCCACAAAAUCCUCAGGGUUUUCAACCGCCACCUUAUCAACAAGAGAAGAAACCGAACCUUGAGGAGAUGCUCUCAAAAUUCAUAUCAAUAUCAGAAACCUGUUUCCAAAAUACCGAGACAGCACUUAAGAAUCAACAAGCAUCGAUCCAAGGACUCGAAACUCAGAUAGGCCAGCUAUCCAAACUAAUCUCCGAACGACCACAAGGUAGCUUACCAAGUAAUACUGAACCUAAUCCGAAGGAACACCUCAAUGCAAUUAGUACUCAAAAUAAGGAAGGAUUCAUUGCACCGGAGCCAGAAUUCAGCAAGACAACGCGAUGAACAAAGGUCGAGAAGAGGUAAAUGAUGAUGAUCCUAAACAGGUAAGUACGAAUUAUGAACCUCGUGUGCCAUAUCCUAAAGCGAUGACGAAAGACAGAACAGAAGAACAAUUCAGAAAGUUUGUCAAACUCUUAAAGAAAUUACAUAUUAACUUACCCUUUAUUGAAGUUCUGUCGCAGAUGCCCAGCUCAGCAAAAUUCUUAAAGGAACUUCUGAGCAAUAAAAGAAAUUAGACGCUACAUCACAUGUGGAACUCAGGGCAGUCUGCUCAGCUAUUCUAAAGAAUAAGCUACCUAACAAAUUGAAAAAUCCAGGGAGUUUUACAAUCCCUUGCUUAAUUGGAAGUUUGUCUGUGAAUAAUGCUUUAGCUGAUCUAGGGGCAAGUAUAAAUCUUAUGCCAUAUAACAUGUUUAAACGACUAGGUCUCGGUAAACCCAAACAGACUAGGAUGAGCAUACAAUUGGCUGACAAAACAGUUAGAUUUCCUAAGGGUAUUAUUGAAGAUGUUCUCGUUAAAAUUGAUAAAUUUAUUUACCCAAUAGACUUUGUCGUCUUAGAUAUAGAUGAGGAUAAUGAGGUACCUUUAAUUUCAGGACGACCCUUUUUAGCAACUGCCAGAACCAUUAUUAAUGCAGGCACAGGAGAGCUAACACUUCGUAUAGGAGACGACGCAGUAACACUCCAAGUAUGCGACUCAGUCAAAACCUCUAAGACUCAAUAUAAUGCUAUGAAACUUGUCGAUGACAACACUAAUAUUCAAUCAUUCUUGCAGAAACCUCCUCGAACCAAGACAACAGAGACAGUGCGCUAUUAUCAAGUAGCAAAAAAAGACACCCAUGAGGAACGAAGGCUUCAAAUAGAGGAGCUAGAUGAAUGGCGAGCACACAAACCGAGAACACAUGAUAAACCAAAACUACGCCAAAACAAGCCCAAUACCUCUCUUAAUCAACUUAAGGUUGGCGAUAAAGUCUUACUAGAUGCCGCAGAUCCCCACAUUAUCACUACCAUACCAAAUGAGGAAAUCCCUAUUACGGUACUCAGUAUUUUUCCAUUCGGUACGGUGGAGGUGAGUCAUCCCGAGUUCAGCACUUUUAAGGUAAACAACACCCGAUUAAAACCUUAUUUUAAGAUUGACAGCAGGAAUGAGGAGUAUGAACUCCUCAAACCACCAUGAUCAUUCAACGGAGAGGUAAGUCGAGCUUAGACUAUAAAUAAGUACCUCUCGGGAGGCAACCCGACCACUAACAUAUUUUGAUUUCUUUAUUUUUAAUUUCUAACACUUUGAAUCAUUAACUUAAUCUUUGAACUGCAAACUUUUUCAGCACACACGGCCAGGAACACGGGCGUGCCUAAAGCCAUGACCAAACAGGGGAAGAGACACAGCCGUGCGAUACGGUCGUGUGGAAGUAGGACAUGAUUUCCCCAAAACAAGGGGUGUGAUAAAUCCCCAUGGCCGUGUGACAUGGCCGUGAGUAAACUUGAUAGGAUACCACAGGCGUGGGAAUGGAAAACCACGAGCGUGCUAGGACAAGGCUCGAUUCUGUUUCUUCGACAUUGGCGUGCGACACGCCCGUAGCAUUCAACCAUGUACAACAAUACACGAGCAUGCUACCAUAAAACAUAGGCGUGAGAGAAGCGAACAAAGCUAGGCACGGCCGUGCGACAUGGCCAUUCUAGACACACGGGUGUGGGAUAGUAGCCGGGCACGACCUAAAUCGCAAAAUUCAAAAAACACAGGCUCACCCUCAAAGAACACGGGCGUGACCCUAGGCCAUGUGAACCUCCCCUAUAUAAGCAAACCACUAUUCAUCUUCUUCCCCUUUUCAAAACCCUAGCUGAAAUCUACCCUUCCCCAUUCCCUAACCCCUAUUCCGGCCAUCAUUCCCCCGAUUCUCACUUCUCCAACCCCCAAACCACCUCAAAUCCACUCCCCUUGUAUUAAUCCCCACUUUCCCCUCUCUACACCCUCUAUUUUUCCUCCACACGGCUAUAUCCCCGCAUCACACGCCCGUGCUCGCCAUCAACACGCUCGUGCGCAGCCCUACAGUACCUUUGGCUCACUUUCUCAACCUUAUUUUUCCAAUUUGUGUUGCUACAUUAGUAUUAUACAUGCUUUACAUAGAUAUUGUUACUCUUACAAAUAUGUUUUAGACAAUUAGGAAUUUUCUUUAGAAUUUUCGAUAUUUGAAUUGUUUAAGCUACUAAAUAGCAUAUACUAAUUUUAGGCCUCUUGCUAAACUACUGAUGUAUCUUGGAUUCUAUCAAUGCUCAUGUAUUUUCUGGAAAAUUAUGUCGUUAUCGAGAGGCAAGAACGCCGCGGCCCAUUCUCAAAGAGACGCAGGGGACCUGGUUCUUCCUCGGUACGUGCUACAGCCGAAGUUCGGCACCCGUUCCUUGAAUUUUCGCAAGCUUCACAGGUUGAGUUAUUUCAGAUACUACACGCGCGACCCCUCACAACAGGUCGCUGCAUUGACUGGGCUGCCGUAGAGCAAGUCCAGCUAGAUGAUGCUAUCUGCGCCCUCCUGUCCACAAACUCAUGGGAACGGUUCUUCGCUAUUACCAAGCCCACUUAUUUAGAGCUAACUUUAGAAUUAUGUUCUACUUUUCAUUUACUGGUAGUGAUGACGAACAAUGACGACCCAGGCACAAUUCACUUCCGAUUAGGCGGUCUAGUUCACGCAAUGAGUGUCCCAGAGUUUGGAGUCUGUGUGGGACUUUACACUGAUGAGUUUAUAGAGGAGGAGGACAUGAAUGCACUACCACGCAAUAUCCAUAUUUCUCCCUCUUUGUGUUGGAAGGCUUUGGCACCACUCUCCUCCACCUACGACCCCAGCCGUUCGAAGGCCUCAGCCCUCCCCCCUUCCCUACGAUAUCUCUAUGCCAUAUUGGUACACACAUUGACCGGAAGGAGAGAGAACACUAGCGUCAUCAACACCCACGACGCCUACUAUUUAUGGUGCAUGGUGAAUGCACACGUGACUGACUUGGCAUACUUCAUUGCUUUCGCCAUUCGCCAUCAGACCGAGCAGUAUAGGAAGGGAGUGAUCUCCAUCGGCCCCUACGUGACGCGCCUUGCCAAACACUUCGGCCUCCUCAACACCGUGGCCCAGUCAUUAGCGCUUACAUUGGUAGGUCAGAUGUCCCCAUAGGGCAUCACGACUAUGUUACACAUGAAGAUGAUUGAGCGCCGCGGUGGGACCGACCCUCCUCAGUACCGUCUCACUCAUGCCAUUGACGAGGAUGAUCUAGAGGACAUCCCUGAUGAUGUCCCCCCACAUCACGAGGAGCCUUCUACCACGCCACCUAGAGGGCGACCAGUUCAUGCAGCUACUUCAUUGGCGUACCUUUCUGACUGACUCGCUCACUUCGAGCAGUAUUGCAUUACACAGUUCGAUAUGAUUCACGAGCGAGAUCGACGAUGUGUGUAACAGCCCGAUUUUGACUCUAAUUGGACAUAGUGGUUUCGGGACCACAAAUCCGAGUCUGAAAAAUAUUUUAAUAUUAUUUUGUGUGUUUAUGAUGUGUGAAUUUAAAUGUGUGAAAGUUUCGUGAAUUAAUUUUGUUGUUUAUGUGUUUAAUUGACAAAAGUAUCAAAUUGCAUAAAAUGUGAAGUUUGAUUAUUAAUGUGUAAAGUGCUUAUUUGAUGGUGGCUUUUAAAUAUGAGGUUCUUAAAGGGCAAUUAGCCCAUUUUAAAAGAUAGUGGACGGCAAUGAUAGUUAAUAUAUACUUUUUAUAUAUUAAAUAUAAAAGUUAUAAUAGUAAUAGUAUAAUAUUAUAUUAUUAUAUCAUUAAAACAUAAAAGAAAUAAGUUUUUUUUCUUUCUUCAUUGUUUGUAUCACCGAAACAAAAAGAAAGAAACUUUGUUCUUCAAGCUUUAGCAUUCGGCCAUCUUAGGGAUUUCAAUUCAAGGUUAGUUUGAUUUUAGUUUUUUAUAAUUUUUACGUUUUUGAGAUCGUUGCUUUGAAUACUUCAAAACCCAUGUCUUAAUUUUGUGAAUUGAUGAAUAUUUUGAAUUAUGCCAUUGAUGAAUAUUUGUGUUUUGGGAUGUUUGAUGAUGAAUAAUGGAAGAUAUGUCUUAGAUUAACAUGUUUUGUAUUGGUAUUUUUGAUGAAUUUGAGUAUUUAGGGCUAAAUUGUGAAAAUAAAUUUUUUGAGGGACUAAAAUGUGAAAUAAAUGCAAUGUGUGGACUUGUAUGAGAACCAUGAAUAUUCGGCCCUUGUGUGUUAUGGGCAAAUUUUAUGUAUUUUGUGUUUUGUGCAAAAAGGACUAAAUUGCAAAAAGUGUAAAAUGUUAGGGCCAAAAUGGUAAUUUUCCCAUUUAUGUAUUGUUGGACUCAAAUGAAUGUUUUGAUGAAUAAAAAGGUUAAAUUUGACUAUGUUUAGAUCAAGGAACGAAGAAAACGAAUUUGGAUCGGGGGAAGUCGAAGAUAAUCGAAUAGUCGAUCGUGUUUGCUGAUAUCCGAGGUAAGUCUAUUAGCAACUAAAAGUUAUUAAGUUAAUAUUUAUACAUGCAUACUAAUUUUUAUCUUAUGAUUGAGCUAUAAUUUAAAGUAUAAUAGUUGAAUAAACUUUGGACUAUAGAUAUUGUAUAUAACAUGUUCGAAUAUACAAGUAUGAUCUUGUAUAAAUUAUUGGAUUAAUCAAAGGUAUGUAUAAGAUAUAGGUAUAUAUAUAUAUGGUUCGAAUGAUUAUUUAAGUAUGUAUAUAUAUAUAUAUAAAGUCGAAUAAGCAUGCAAAUAUACAUGUAUGUGUUGUGUAUUGAAUUUAGUUAUGUCAUUAUAUAAGUAUGCGAGGAUUGAUUGUGCAUUUAUAUAUGUACAAGUUUUUGUUUUGAAAUUGAGUAUGAAAUUAUACAUUCAUAUGGUAGAUUCGAAUAUGUAUAAAUGCACAUGUAUAAAUUCUUGAAUCGAAAUUUGGUAUGGAAUUAUAUAUGUAUGUGAAAGUUUCGAUUUUGUAUGUAUAUUCACGUAAAAGUUUUUGAAUGGUAGUGAAGAUAUGAAAUUGUUAGUUUGAAUUAUUAUAAAGUGAUUGAAUGUAAUACGGACGUUACGUCUAGCAGGCUUAAUGCCGGUGAAGUAAUUCAGACUUUAAGUCUAGCAGGCUUAAUGCCGGUGAUACAUUUCAGACUUUAAGUCUAGCAGGCUUAAUGCCGGUGAUACAUUUCAGACUAUAUGUCUAGCAGGCUUAAUGCCGGUGAUACAUUUCAGACUAUAUGUCUAGCAGGCUAAGUGCCGGUGUACUGAAUCAGGCUUUAAGCCUAGCAGGCAAAAUGCCGGUGAAUCUGUUUAAAUUGUGUUAGAAUAUGCAAUGGAUAUAUCUAUGAUUUGUGAUUAUAUGAAAUCGAUGAAUACAUAUGUACAUUAGAUAUAUGUGAUUGCUGAAUUUAUAAAUGCAUAUGGUGAUAUGUGGUAGUUAAACAUAUAUAUGUUGAGCCUAUGUGUUUGAUAAUUAAUCAUGUAUGCAUUUGAGAUAUAUAUAUAUGUGUGUAUUUCGAAUGUAUGUGUUACCUAGGUAUUCAGGUAUAAAUUCAUAAUGAGUAUAUUUAUAUACAAACAAAUAUAAGGUGUGAUUGAUGUAUAUAUAUUUGUGUUAGAUUUGAAUUGAUUUAGAACUUACCAUGAGUGUAUAUAUACAAUCGGUUUGAUAUGUAUAUAAUAUGUAUAUAUAUAUGUUCGGUGGUAUACAUUCAAUUGUAAUGUUGUUUUGUUUAAUAUAUAUAUUAAACUGAAUUCAUCCGACAGGUAUACAUAUCUGACUAUAAAUGAAAUAGUCUGAGUAGAAUAAUGUAUGAAUGUUAGUUGGUUGUGUUAGUUGAAAUUUCAGUAGAAUAGAUUAAAAAGGUUAUAAUAAUUAUGUGUUUAUAAUUAUACAUUUAGUUAUGCUGGAGACUUACUAAGCUAUAAAAGCUUACUUCGUUUGCUUUCGUUCAUUCGUUUUUAUAGAUUUGGAGAUGCGUUACGAGCUCGGGGAUCAUCAGCACAGUCCAUCACACUAUCGAUUUCUUUUGGUAUUUUGUUAAAUAUUUGAACUCGAUCUUAUGGCAUGUAUAGGCUUGAUAAUGUUUUGGUUAGUUUUGAAUCCUAUUGUGUAAAUAGCAAUGUGAAAAGAGUUUAGUUUCCAUGCUUGAAUUUGAUUAUAUAUGUUCAUGAAUUGGACUUGUUUUUGGAAUUAGAUAUUAAAGUUAUGUUUAUGUGAGCUUGGUUUCGUAAUGCCUCGUAACCCUGAUUCGGCGACGGAGACGGGUUAGGGGUGUUACAAUGUGACAGACAGAUGGACGACAUGCAGGCCAUGAUGCAGUAGUUGUGCCAAUACUUCCACAUCGCCACUCCAGCGCCACCACCUGAGGGCCCCACUAACAAGGAUCAUUGAAUCCUCCUAUCUUUUUAUUCUUAUUUUUAUUUAUUUUAUUUUAUUUAUUUUUCUUUUUUAUUUCUAUUUUCAUUUCUAUUUUAUUAUUUUAUUUUGAAAGACAUAUCUAUAUUAUUAAAUUUUAAUAUUUUUCAUUUUCUGGUAUUUCUAACAAGUAAUCCCACUACGCUCUCUUCCACACCAACUCUUAACAAGCUUUUCAUGAUUCUACAGACUUCCAAGCAAAGCUACUAGGAAUAUUUUACGGAAUGAGAAAACAAAUGGGAAACAAUACCUCACGAUUGCCAUGUUCAACGCCUCAAUUUCUUCAUUUAGCUAAGAACAAUGGCAGCUACUACCUUCCCCAAACACUCCAGCGUCAGAAUCAAGCUCCGCAUCCAUAUAACAGGGAGUUUCACCUCCUUUCUUCUUAUGAUUUUCUUUAUUUUGAAUAAUCUAUCUUUGUACAUUGAGGGCAAUGUACAUCUUAAGUGGAGGGUGAACAUGAAACCCAACUUUUUGCAUUAUUCUCAAAUCCCUGAAUUUAGUCUUGUGCUUAAGUGAUUUUCUCAUAAUAUUGAUAGAAUGAAUUUUGAUUGAUCCAUAAUUAUUGUUGAUAUGUCAUGAAUUAGACCAAGGUAAUUAUGCAUGAUUAUUUGAUUAUAGGACAUUAAAGAAUCGGGCAUGAUAAGUUGAUAUUUUGAGAAAUAAAAAUUUUAGACUAUUUUUCCUAAAUUGAGGGAAAUCUUAAGUAUACAGGAAUGACAUCAAAAACCCAAAUUUUUGGUGAGAUUUUUUAGCCUUUUGAGCAUAUAGCUUUCUUUUUUGCUCACUUCUUUUGUGGUUUGAUUGUGUCAACAUUGAACUGUUAUUCUAGAACUUGCUUCAAUUAUACAUGUCGAGAUCACACGUAUGAUUUGAGAUACUGAGAUGAUAAAGGCACUUAGGAUUUAACCCACUACUCCAUAAAAAGCCUUCCCACAUAAUUAAACCCGUAGUGAACCCCCUUUGAGCCUACUAACUUUUUUUUAUUGAUUAACCCUCAUCAUUAACCCAUUAACCCAUUAUUGUUGAAAUCCUCUUACUUAAUUUGACCCUUUUUAUCGAGAUUGAAUUUAGCAUUGUUAGCUCACUAUGUUUACCAUUUUUUGUUACUGAAUCACGAAGUAUGAUUUCUAUAUUGUAUUGACCUGAUUUGUUCUUAAAAAAAACGCAGUAUUAUUCUUGUAAUUCUCAGCAACCUAAAAUUGUCAUGAACUCAUGUAAAAUAGUUCUAGAUAUUUGUUUGUGGUUCAGUAAUUAAGUUUUUGAUAGUGGGGUAAUAUAUUAAAAUUAUCUCGAUUCUAACCCUUGUCUCUUCAGCUUGUAUCCAUACCUGUUACCUAAACCCCAUUACAACCAUGCAAAGACCUUUUGAUUAGUGUAUCAAAUCAUUUACAAGUGGUGGAGAUUUGAUUUUCAUGCAAGCUUAUGGUAAUAAAUUUUCAUGUUAGACAAUCAAGUGCUUAAUCUUGAACCUUAAACACUUUGAGUGAUUUGAGUGAAUCUUUAAUGAGGAUGUCAUCUCUUGUAUAUUUAGAACUAAAGUUAAUUACUUGAAGGAAGGAGAUUACCUAUAAUUUUAUAAUCAAAAUAUUUGAUUUAGAUUGUUUGAGGCUUCUAAUGCCCCUAUAGUUGAAUUCUCAUUGUAUGAUUUUCCGUGGAAUAAUUUGUAACAUUAUCAGUAAUGCUUAUAUGAUUGAAAGGAAUGAAUUCUAACAGUAAAUGAGAAUUUUGCUUGAGGACAAGCAAAUGCUUAAGUGUGGGGGUAUUUGAUAAACGCCAAAUUAUACAUAUUUAUACCCCAAAUACUUAGCAUAUUUAUGGAUGUUUAUUACUAGAUUUGUGGAUUUUGGUGCUCUUAAUCCGGUUAUUUCAUGUUUUGCACUCAAGAGAGCACCAAGAGUCAAAAGGAGCAAAAAACGAGCAAAAGAGGGGACAAAACGGACCAAAUUGAGAAGAUGACACGGCCUAAGCCUUGCCAUAUGGGCAUCUCACACGCCCGUGGCCUUUGGGGGUGUCGACCAAGGUUUACUCGAUUCACAUGGCCUGGCCAUUAAGCCCACACGGCCAUAUGCAAUUUAACAGAUCGAACACGGCCUGGCAAUGACGUCACACGGGUGUGUCCCUUUUUCAAAUAGUUGUAUUUUACACGGAAAAGGGUACUUAGGGAGGAAGAAAAGCCAAUCCAAAGCCUAUAUAAACACCCUAAGUGUGACCUAAAAAGGGGGGCUUCUUCCAGAACUUUUCCGGAAUACAGAACCACACGCCGAGAAUUACUUGAAGGAAGCCAGACGAUCCAUUCUAAAAGCCGGAGCUACUCCAAGACUGAAGAUCUCCCUCAGAAUUCCUUCAGGGGUUUUUAGAGUUUUCUUCAUGUUUUGUUAUUUUUAUACUUUUGAGAUGUACUCUUAUUUUAUUAUGAGCUAAACCCCUUAGAUACUUAAGGGGGAUAAAACCUAUGAUGGAUCUUGUUAUUAUUAUCUGAACUGUAUGAUAAAUACUUGAUUUGUUCUUAAUUAUGUAUUCUUAAUACUGGAGUUAAUAUUCCGAGUAUUAAUUCAUGAUUUGAUGUGCUUAUGCAGAGGAGGAAUAGACCCUGCCUAAGAGUAGAUUUGGCAUAAUUAAGCGGAGUUGAUCGAACGCCUAGAAAUAGGGUUACGAGAUUUUACUGGAUUAGGGUGAAACCUAAUAUAGGAGUCCAACGAGUGAUUUACUGCUUCCCUAGGGGUUUUAAUUAAGAAAGAAAUUUUGAUUAAUUCAACUGAGGGUUAGACGUUAUUAGUCUUGAAAGGGAUAAUAACAUAGGUUAGGGAAUCUCACGGAUCAAGUCAAGUGAAUAAAUCGUCUGGUUUAGAGUCAGAUAACAAGUGAAAUCUAGGUGGAUUCCUCCUUGGGUGUCAUUUUUAUCAAUUGCUUUUCUUCAAGUCUUUUUCCAAAUUUUCUCUUUGUUUUAAUUAAAUUAGUUAAUUAGUUUAGAUAAUUAGCUUGAUAAACAAACCCUUUUAUUCUUAGGCUAGAUAAUAAAAAGAUAGUUAUUACUAGUACUUUUGGUUCCCUUGGGUACGAUAUCUCGGUCUUGCCAUUACUAUACUAUUGUUCGAUAGGUGCGAUUGCCUUUUCGUCGUGAUAAUAGUUAGUCUAGGGUUGAUCUUCAUUAUAAAUAUUUAUUACUUGUCACGAAUCACACGAUCAACAGCCAUGACACACGGGCGUGUGGCCUACCCGUGUGCCUCACACGGACAUAUGGUUUACUCGUGUGGAAACACCUGGCCGUGUGAAACACUGAAUUAGGCCAAUUUGGUUCCUUUUUUGGCCUUUUCUUACUCUUUUCGCCUUCCUAUGCUCACCUAAGUAUAAAACAUGAAUUUAAAGGAUUAGGAUCAUUGAAUUCAAUAAAACCAAGGAAAAAUCAUCCAUAAAUAUGCUAGACAUGGGGUAAAAAUAUGUAUAUAUUAUGGUUUAUCAGUUAGCUAAAAUCAUGGUUUAAUAUCUAAUUGUGAUUUUGCUUCUGGGUUAUCCUAUUUUUUUAGCUAAAGUUGUUGUAGUUUCAGCCUAUAUAAAGGAUGUAAAUCAGUGAAUAAAAAGUGUCUUGAGUUCCUAUUUUUCAUUGAGUCUUUUGUAUACAAUUCAUAAAGUGUUACUGAGUGAGCUUCUUUUGUUUUUUUUUACAGCAAAUCUUCCCAUUUAGUCUAACAGUAUGGUAUCAGCGCCAGGUUCGUGAAGAUAAUUAUGGUUGAUUUUUCAGUUGGGAAACAUGGGAAACAUGUAUGAAGUCUUACUUGCAGGCUUAAGAUGUGUGGGACAUUGUUAGCUGAGAUGAGCCUUCACCUUACCUCAAGAAGCUAACAGCUUAAAGAAGUGGAAGGCCAGUGUUGGCAAGGCUAUUUUUGCAGCUAAAACCACUAUAGAGGAAGAAAUGUUAGAGCAUAUCAGAGACGCUGACACACUAAAACAAGCGUGGGACACGUUGGAAGAACUUUUCUCACAAAAAAAUGACACAAGGCUACAACUCUUAGAGAAUGAAUUGUUAUUAAUGAAACAAGGAGACUUGGCGAUCAACCGGUACUUCACUAAAGUAAAAACCUUAUGCCAUGAGAUUUCUGAACUUGAUCUAGUUCCCGUAUUGCGGAUUCUAGAAUAAAAAGAAUCAUCAUUCAUGGAUUGAGACUGAAGUACAGGAGUUUUGUUGCUACAAUUCAAAGAUGGCCAACACAACCAUCGCUUGCAGAUUUUAAGAAUCUGUUGACGGGUCAAGAGGCUUUGGCAAAACAAAUGGGUGAAGUCUCAAUCAAAACUAAGGAUGUGGCAUUUUUAGUGGAAAGAGCAAAGAAAAACCUAGGUAUAAUGUCAGAAGCAGACCAAGAAAAGAUUAUUGCAAAUCAGAAAGCCAUCAUGGGAGUUCUUAAUUUGGAGAAACUUAAAAGCGUAGCAACUAAAACAACCGAUUCAACCAGAGGAAAAAGUUUGAUGGUGAUAACUAUAAUUGCGACAAAAAGGGCCACAUGGCCAAAGACUGUUGGUCCUAGAAGAAAGUUGUUGAGAGUAAUGUAGUGACAUCUAAAGGAGAUGUUCAGAAUGAUGAUGAGUGGGAUGCUGAAGCAUCCUUUUCUGUGGAAGAAGAAGACUUGGCACUCGCAGUAACAACUUCCUAGAAGAUUAACUAUAAGAACGACUGGAUUGUUGACUCUAGUUGUUCUAAUCACAUGACCGGUGAUCAAGAAAAGCUUCAAGAUGUUACAUUGUAAAAAGGAAAUCGUGUGGUGGUAACGGCUAACAACUCAAGGUUACUUAUCACCCAUGUUGGUAAGACGACUAUCGCACCUCGAUUUAGUUCUGAUCCAAUGUCAAUUCAAGGUGUUUAUCAUGUGCCUGAUGUAAUAGGUCAAUUUUGGCCUGGGCCCGAAAAUAAUAAACUUAAACCCAAAUUAACAAUCCAUUUAUAACAGUCCAAUUACAAUGGCCUAAUAUCGCCCAAAACUAAAUUAAACCCUAGCCCACAACAUUUUCACCUAAACAAAAUAGCAAACCCUAGAACCUAGGCCUCCCCUUUGGCCAGCGCCGCACAUCAGCAGAACUUCCACACGCGCCACCUGUAAUAUCCUGAAUUAGGGCUUAAUCAGAAUAGUGGUUUCGUGACCACAAAUCCGAGAUAGAAAUAAUUAUUUUACAAUGAUUUUGAUGUUUAUGAUAUGAUUGCAUGAUUGUGUGAAAAUUUCGUGAUGAAAUUCUAUGCCUAAAGUGCUUAAAUUGAAAGUAGGGACUAAAUCGAAUAAGUUGCAAAACUUGUAUUCUAGAAGUUUUUAGUAUGAAAUUGUUUUGGAAUAUUAAUGAGGAGGUCUUAAAUAGCAAUUUGACCAAUUUUAAGUUCAUGGACAAAAUUAGGACAUGGAAGGAAUUUUUGGAAAGUUUAGUAGUAAGGGUAUUUUGGUCAUUUAGUUAUUAAAAUGAAUUAAAAACAAAAUUAAAAGCCAAUUUUUGUCCAUCUUCUUCAUUAGGCCGAAAUUUCAAGGGUUCUCCAUAGCUAGUGUUUGUUUCAAGCUUCCAAGCUCCAUAGUAAGUGAUUCCAAGCCCCGUUUUUAAUGUUCUUUACGUUUUUAGAAUCCCGGAAGCUCGAUUAAGCUUAUGCUAGCAAUAAUUCAACCUAGGGUUUAUAUUUGGAAAAAUACCCAUAGGUGAAAUUUGUGUAUUUUGAUGUUUUAUGAUAGAAUAUGGGGUUUUAAAUUAUGUUAGACAACUUGUGCUACGCGGUUUUUAGUGAAAACGAGUAAAAGGGCUUAAUCGGCAAAAAUACCUAAUAGUCACAAGUAUAUGUUAGAGAGAGAAUUUGAUGUUGCCAUAGAAGGGAAAAGUGAUCAGCAUGUUAUAAAACAUAAGAAUAAGGAAUAAAGUUUAAUUCCCGAGCCUAGGGGCAAAAGUGUAAUUAUGCAAAAGUUUAGGGGAAAAAGUGUAAUUUUUUAAAGUUCGUAUUAAAUGUUGUUUUGAUGAAUAAUAAGAUUAAUUUGGUAUUAUAGAUCAAGAAAAACGAGAUUCAAGUCGUGAUCGAGGAAAAGAAAAGAUUGUGGACUAAAUUGCAAAAUCUUUAUAUUUUGGUACCAAGGUAAGUUCAUGUGUAAAUAAUGUAGCAUAAAUGUUAUUUUUAAGUUAUUAAUGUUAAUUAUAUGAUAUGCUGAUUUUUAAUCGUGAAAUAUUAUGCUUUGUGGUUAAUAUUGAGUAAUAUGCAAAUUAUGUUUACUACUUGAUAAAUAUGAAUUGCUACCGAGUAUCGGUUCCGAUAUUCCAUGGAAGACGGCAAAUGUGAGAUCGAGGGAAAAAGCCCGUUUGAACCUUAGGAAUAGAUUAGGAUACAAGUGACAUGUCACUAGGAUGGUUGAGCAUCCGAACUCGUUGAGUUGAGUCUGAGUUCACUUAUGGAUGCAAAUGUCCGAACUCGUUGAGUUGAGUCCGAGUUCGUGAGAUGUAACUAGGCAUCCGAACUCGUUGAGUUGAGUCCGAGUUCAUUUAUGGAUGCGAACGCCCGAGCUCGUUGAGUUGAGUCCGAGUUCACUUAGGGGCGGGUUACAUGAUUUCUUGAUUACAUAUGUGGCACUUAUGUGCAAAUUAUCCAUGUAUCCGAGUUAUAUUCCGAUGUGUUCAACGGGUGAAAUUUCUAGUUUAAUGGAAGAGCACUUAAGAUAUAAGUGACGUUUUGGGUAAGUGUUGUGAAAUGGACACUUUGGACAGGUAUGUUCUUAACCCUCGUGUUGAAAAUAGAUACAACAACGAUAAGGUGGUAAGAUGAUGAAUGAUGUUUAAAUAUGUGAUAUAUGUUUUGGUGGUACCAUGCUAAAGUUGUUUGGUAUAUUUGUAUUGUUAUGUUACUUGUUAUUUACAUAUGAACUUACUAAGCAUUUAUGCUUACUCCUUCCUUUUCAUUCACUGUAGUUUUGAACAAGCCAGCUCGAGAAUCGGGACGGGUCGAACGUUCGAUCACACUAUCCAAAGGACUUUUAUCUUGGUAAAUGGCUUGUACAACUACUUAAGUAUGGCAUGUAUAUCAAUAUACCUAUUUUGUGUAAAUAAUUUUAUGAUAUGGCCAUGUUUGGUUGAGAAAAUGUUUGAUAUUGAUAAGUCAUGGUGAUGGCUAAUUUAGAUCAUGUUUGAUAUCAUGGAAGUUUAACAGGUUAUCUAGUUCAUAAAAAUUCAUGGAAAGAUGAAACUUGCCUUAAAAUAGAAUAUUGCUGCAGCAAUGACAUGAAUUUGAAAAAAUCACUAAAAAUAGUAUAAAUGGAAAUAAAUGAUGAGUAAGUUAUGAAAUUCAAUCUUAAUGAGUCUAUUUUCAUAUGGAUUGAACAAAACAGGAAUAUAAAUUAUAUUUUAUGAGAUAUUUAAACUUUUGCGAAAUAGGGCUAGAGUGAUUUCUGGAUCCCCUGUUCUGACUUUAAAAAUUUAUAAUAAAUUUUACUAAAAUAAUUAUAAGUUAUUAUUUAUAUUUACAGAUUCAUUAUUGAGUCUAGUUUUAAUAGAAACAAACGUCAUAGUCAUUGAAAUUUUUUAUAGAGAUAUAUCUGAUUCGUAAUACACAGAGGUCAGAGCAGUCAAACCCUGAAACAGGGGAUACUUUAAUUAAUAAAGUGUACUAAUUGGCCCAAUAAAAAAUUCUAGAAAAAAAUUAGUAAAUAUAUAUAUGAGUCUAUAUUCAUGGAAAAUUUACGGAUCUUGAUUUUGAGUUUCGUAACUUGAGAUAUGAUUUUUCUUGUAACUGUGACGCGAAUAGCUAGAAAGCUGUGAAUGUAGAAACAAAUGAUUUGAAGUUCUUAAAUUGAUAAAUUAUGUUCGGUAACCCCUCAAGCUCGACUCCGGUGAUGGUCUCGGGCGUGGGGGCAUUACACCACCACGUCAACCUCCGUACACAGCUGGCCUCCAUACCUGCAAACAGGACAAAAAAGGACAACAAACACAAAAACAAUAGCAAAGCUUGUAUUUUUUUUCUUCUCUUCUUUCUUUUCGGCUAUAAAAGCCACAAGAAUAUUGAUGUAUUUUUUUACGAACACCAAAAUAUCAAAUAGAAAUCAGAUUAGAUAUUUUCGAAGGUGAUUUUUUUCUUUUCGCAUGGAUUCAUUUUUGUAAAAACAAAAAGGGGUUAAAAAGAACAAACCUUCUUAUUUCGUCGCCGAGAACAGUCGAGGUAGUCACUUCCGAUGAAAAGUGGCCAAAACCAAAUGUUUUUUCUACUUUUGGGUUAUUUUUGUGAAGAUUUCAGAAAUUUUGGGCCUGGAUCUAGGUUUAGGAGGGUUGAAAUAGCAAAAAUAGGGCAGCCCAAUGACCGGAGCUAGGCCAGAAUCUGAAAAGGGGAAGAGAGUUAAGAGCUUUACUUUUUUUUUUUGAAGAGGAAGGGCUAAAAUGAAUAUAUAAAAAAAUUUUGGGCUUAUAUAGCAUGUAUAAAAUGACGCCGUUUUGGCUUAGUACCUACUGACACUAAACGGCGUCGUUUUGUUAUGAAACAUAUCGAUCCGACCUGCUCUAUUUAGGGUCCGCUUGUUUUUGGGCAAAUGAUCUAUUUGCUUCAGGAGUCCUUCCGCCUUUUAAUUAUUUUGCAAUUUGGUUUUCUUUAUUUGCAUUUAAAUAGCAUACAUAUUAUGUGAUUAUUGAGAAUCAUUUUUUAGCAUAUUCAUAUUAUCGUUAUUCAUCAAUGUAACCUUUUUUUAUUAAUACAUUGUCUUAAUAUUGCAUUAAUUUUCCCCAAAUUCAAAAACAAGAAAACUUUUAAAAAUAGGUAAUAUUUCACAUUUUGAAGAUUCGAAAAAUCGUACCUUAACUUAUAGGGUUUCGAUUUUCUCAUUAAACCUAAAUAGCAAAUAUCCUUUCAAAUUUUAAAAUAUAUGGAUUUUUAAAUAAAAAUAAAAAUAAUAUUCCGUGUUUAGAAAGCCGAGAAGAUCGUGCCCUAACUUAAGGGGUUUCGAUUUUCCUCAUUAGAUCUAAACAACCGAAUAUCUUUUUAAAAAUCAAAGUACAAAUUUUAAAAUAAAAUGAUUAAAAGGCAAGCUUAUUGUUGAGGGUUCAAAUGUCGUGUCCUAACUCACGGGAUGUGGCAUUUUGUUAUCUCGAGACGAGAGGGCCUUUAAUUCUCGUUUUAAUUUAUCCAAGCAUUUUUUUAAGUCAACAUUAAUAAAAAAGGAAGGAUCGUAUUUAAAAUUCAUUUGGAUUUUCAACUUUUAACGUUAAGACAUUAACUAAUCAAUUAGGUACCAAUUUUGGGCGUUACGAGGGUGCUAAUCCUUCCUCGUACGUAACCAACUUCUGAACCCGUUUUCUCGAAUUUCGUAGGCCAAAAUUGUUGUUCUAGUAAAUCAAAACGUUUUCUUAAAACAAUCAAUCGUAAGGUGACCCGAUCACACCUCAUAAAAAAGAUUGGUGGCGACUCCCAUGUUCGUUUUCGCUUUCAAAAUAAAAGUCGACCGUUUUCAAAAACUGGUUUCGACACCUGGUGUCGAAACCAUUUUUUUAAAGGGAUGUUUAAAAAAUGGGGAUCGACUUUUGAAAAACGAAAGUGGGAGUCGCCACCAACCUUUUUAGGUGUGAUUGGAUCACCUUAUAAAACGUUUUGGUCUACGAAAAUUAAGAAAACAGGUUCGGGAGUCGGUUAUGUACGAGGAAGGAUUAGCACCCUCGCAACGCCCAAAAUUGGUACCAAAUUAAAUAGUUUUUUGUCUUAAUGUCAAAAAUUUGAAAGGAUUUAAAAAUAUGAUCCCUUUUUUAAAACCGGAAUUAUUUAAGUUGAAAAAUCGAGAUUCUUUAGCUCUGAAAGAAUACAAACAUCACAUCCAGCAUGAUAGGACACGAUAUUCUUAAACUCUCGUAACUGAAAUCAUCUCGUGAUUUACAAAAUCUAUUUAGAAAGAUACUUUAGGCAUUUAGACAAACGGGAAAUCGCAACCCAGCAUGUUAGGGCGCUUUUUCCCGAAUUCCUAAAUACGAAAAACAUUGCCUCAUUUUAGAAAAACUUUUGGAUAAAAUAUGACAAUUAAAUGAAAUAUAUUUUUUUUAAAAAUAAUGAUUUGAAUAAAAUUUAAAAAAAUAAUUUACAAAGAGUAAUACUAAAAAAAUUAUUAAAAAAUGAAAGAGUUUGAUAUGAUACUAAAAUUAUUAAAAGAAAAUUAAAAUAUAUAUAUAAAAAAAAUCAGGGAAACAUGGAUUAAAUCAAAAUAAAAAGGGUUGAAAAACGAAGAUGAACAAAGAAUAAAAUAAGAACAAAGCGUAGAAAAUAAGAACGUGAGAGGGAGAUAAAUUUGAGUGAAAGCUCUCAAAAUUUUUUAUUAUUUCCCAAAACUCCAGUGUCUACAAUGAAGGGAGAGGCCUCUAUUUAUAGUUGAACCUCCUCAAAUCCAGCGGACAGAUCAAUUACAUCAACGGUUAAGAUUAAAAGGUAUCUACAAAUUAAAUCUCUAAGAUUACAAAAUCAUAUCUUCUAAGAUUGCAUAUCAUAUCUAAGAUUGCAAUCACAUCUAAGAUUGCAUAUCAUAUCUAAGAUUGCAAUCAUAUCUAAGAUUGUAUCAUGUCUAAGAUUGCAUAUCAUUGAAGAUUAUAUUUCCAUAUGAGUCAAGCUUGUAGAUGGACCUUAAAUCUUUUCAAGUAAUGGGCCAUUCCGAUCGGGCCAAAUUAUAUUUGUAAUUUUGGACUGAACUUGGACUUCGUUUUUUUGGGGGUUUAUUAUAUUUUUGUUUUUAGACUUAUUUCUGGGCCUGGGAAAAAUUGAGUGUCUACAGCUGCCCCUCUUUGCUCAUUGCUGUGUAACAGGAAUAGAGCAAAGACUAUAAAAAGACCAAUUUUGCCCGGGCUCGCCGAGUCUUGAGUUCUUGAUCCUUGAUCUUCUUUAAAUGGCCUCUUGACGGCUUCAAUCUACUUCACUGCAACUCAGGAAGGUGAUAUCUGCUAUCUUUGAUCUGCUCCCUGUCUAAUACAGAGACGCCAAAUCUGUUAUCUUCGAUCUGCUCCCCGUCUAAUAUAAAGGUGCCAAAUCUGCUUCUUCAAUCUGCUCCCCGUCUAAUACAGAGAUGCCAAAUCUGUUAUCUCUGAUUUUCUCCCCGUCUAAUACAGAGAUGCCAAAUCUGUCAUCUUGGAUCUGCUUCGAUGUAAACACAUGAAGGUCAGAUCUGCUAUGUCUUCGAUCUGCUCCCCGUCUAAUACAGAGAUGCCAAAUCAUCUUGGAUCUGCUUCAAUGAAGGUCUAAUCUGUUAUGUCUUUGAUCUGCUCCCCAUCUAAUACAGAGAUGCCAAAUCAUCUUGGAUCUGCUUCAAUGAAGGUCAGAUCUACUGUGUCUUCGAUUUGCUCUCCGUCUAAUACAGAGAUGCCAAAUCAUCUUGGAUCUGCUUCAAUGAAGGUUAGAUCUGCUAUGUCUUCGAUCUGCUCUCCGUCGAAUAUGGAGAUGCCAAAUCUGUUUCUUCGCUUUGUUCUCUGACAGUACAGAGAUGCCAAAUCAUCUUAGAUCUGCUUCAGCGUAAACACGUGAAAGCCAAAUCUGCUAUGUCUUCGAUCUGCUCCUUGUAAACGCAAGGAUGCCAAAUCAUCUUGGAUCUACUUCGAUAUGAAAACAUCCAAAGGUUAGAUCUGCUAUGUCUUCGAUCUGCUCUCCGUCGAAUAUGGAGAUGCCAAAUCUGUUUCUUUGAUUUGUUCUCUGACAGUACAGAGAUGCCAAAUCAUCUUAAAUUUGCUUCAGUGUAAACACGUAAAAGCCAAAUCUGCUAUGUCUUCGAUCUGCUCCUUGUAAACGCAAGGAUGCCAAAUCAUCUUGGAUCUACUUCGAUGUGAAAACAUCUGAAGGUUAGAUCUGCUAUGUCUUCGAUCUGCUCUCCGUCGAAUAUGGAGAUGCCAAAUCUGUUUCUUCGAUUUGUUCUCUGACAAUACAAAGAUGUUAAACCAUCUUGGAUCUGCUUCAGCGUAAACACCUGAAGGUCAAAUCUGCUAUGCUUUAGCCCGUUACCCUACUGCUUAGGGGUUAAGGCGCAUCAAUCUUCAUUGUCCCUUGAAGGACAUAACCUGUAUUAAUGUGUAUGAGUUCAUGCCUAAUGAUUAGGAUGCUAUGAUCGAAGUGAGUCAAAUGCUCGUAAUUAAACCUGUUAUAAUGCAAAAUAUUUAUGAAUAUGACCCCUAUUCCAGAUGUCACCACUCAUUCUUUCGUCGAAGUUUAUCCUUAUUUCUCUCGAAGUACCAUUCCUACUCAACCUGUGGGUUUGUACCAUUCUUCAAACGCUAUGACCCACCAAAAAUGUCUGUAAGAUGAUCCUCUCUUAGGAUCGAAUCGUUUGAUUUGUCCAAUCAUCAUUUUGAACUAAAGAAAGAAUUUCCUCGAGUUCUUUCAAACCUCACUUACGUGACUUCUUCAAACAAUUGUUCUGUUUUAGUUUCUUAUAUUAUCUAGAAAUUUCCAGAGUAAUGAGCAAAACUUCAUUUUUGAAAACUAUUUAGUUCAUCUAUCAUUAUUUUAAUGCAACAUACUUUAAGAAUAAUGAAAGAUGAAUUUAAUCUUGAGAAUAAUUAGAUUUGAAUAAAUUUGUCAAAAAUACAAAGGAAAUUAAUCUGAAAGCCUAUCUUUGAGAAGGAAAAGAAUCUAAAGAUAGCAAACAGGACAAAAGUUAGAUGCCCUAGAUAUCGCCGCUUGAGCGUUCAUAUGCCAGCUCCAUGAAGACUUUCUUGAAUUCAACAUGUGUUUAAAAGAUCCAAAGUACUUUGUUGAUGCCCUGAUAUGCAACGCGCUUCACUCUUCGUUGAAUCAGAUAUAGCAAGAUUACCGUGUGCUCUUCAAAAUUUGAGCUGCCCUUUCGGGUUUUCAACUCAAAACCCCUUUGGUCACAAGGCGCCCUUUGCGGGUUUUUACCUUGGCCUCUUUAUUUUUUUUUCGAAAACUCAAGGCGCCCUUUGUGGGUUUUCACCCUGAAUUAUUCUCUCCUUUAGACAAAGUACUUUUUGACUGAGUCUGAAUUCACUGGAUAGGGAAAACUCUUCCCAUCCAUUUCCGUUAAGAUUAAUGCAGCCCCGGAGAAGGCCUUCUUCACGACAUACGACCCUUCCCAAUUUGGCAUCCAUUUUCUUCUAAAGUCCUUCUAAAUAGGGAGGAUCUUCUUCAGCACAAGAUCCCCCUCAUGGAAUUCUCUUGGUCGCACUUUCUUGUCGUAAGCUCGCAUCAUUUGCAUCUGAUACAUCUGACUAUGACGAAUAGCCUUUAGCCUCUUUUCCUCAAUCAAGUUCAACUGAUCAUAUCGCGAUUGUAUCCAUUCAGCUUCAUUCAACUUUAUCUCUGACAAGAGUCGAAGAGACGGUAUUUCUACUUCAAUGGGUAACACUGCUUCCAUCCCAUAAACCAACGAGAAAAGAGUUGCCCCGGUAGAAGUUCUGGCAGACGUUUGGUAAGCUAAAAGUGCAAAUGGUAACUUCUCAUGCCAGUCUCUGUAGGUUUCAGUCAUUUCCCCACUAUCUUCUUAAUUUUUUUGUUAGCAGCUUCCACUGCCCCAUUCAUCUUUGGGCGAUACAACGAAGAAUUAUGAUCCUUAAUCCUGAACUGACUGCAAACUUCUGCUAUCAUUUUGUUGUUCAAGUUCAGUGUAUUUUCUGAUAUGAUCCUUUUAGGCAUCCCAUACUGACAAAUAAUCUCUUUCUUCAAGAAUCAACUUACAGCCGACUUAGUAACAUUCGCAUAAGAAGCAGCCUCUACCCACUUCGUGAAGUAAUCAAUGACCACAAAAAUAAAGCGAUGCCCAUUUGAAGCUUUUGGUGAUAUUGGCCUAAUGACAUCCAUGCCCCACAUAGAAAAAGGCCAUGGAGAAGUCAUAACGUAUAGAGGUGAAGGUGGUACAUGAAUCUUGUCUCCAUAAAUCUGACAUUUACGGUAUUUUUUGGUGUAGUUCAUAGAAUCCCCUUCCAAAGUAGACCAAUAAUAUCCAAACCUCAUGAUUUGUCUAGCCAUCGUGAAACCAUUAGCGUGCAUCCCACAAACACCCUCGUGAACUUCUUCCAAGAUUAACUUAGCUUCUACGGCAUCAACACAUCUCAACAGUACUUGAUCCUUUCUUCUUUUGUACAAGAUGUCCCCAUCUAAAAUGUAGUCGCAGGCUAAUCUCUUUAAAGUUCGCUUAUCAUUUUUAGUUGCCUGUUCUGGGUAUUUACGAUCUCUCACAUAUCGAAAUAUAUCCUGAUACCAAGGGUUAUCAUCUUUUUCUUCUUCCUCAAUGUUACAACAGUGAGCUGGAGCCUCAAAGAUACUCAUCUGAAUGGAUCUCAUCUCCUCCUCUUUAUUCACUUUAGUCAUUGAAGCCAAGGUUGCUAGAGCAUCUGCUAUCUAGUUUUCGUCUCGUGGGAUAUAAUUAAAAGUGAUGUCAUCAAACUCCUCAAGUAACCCCAAAACUACCUUUCAAUAAUUGAUCAAUUUAGGAUCCCUUGUCUCCCAUUCACCUUUAAGCUGACUCUGUUAAACUCUAAAAGCAGAAUUUGCCACCUCGUCAUUCUUCCAUUCAAAGCUGUUGACUCCAUUAUAUACUUCAGAGGAUCAAGUUUUGAAAUAAGCCAAGUAGUAUGAUACAACAUAUAUUGCCUCAACCUUCGAGUCGUCCAGAUUAAAGCACAGCACAAUUUCUCAAUUGGCGAAUAUCUCAUCUCACACUCUGUGAAUUUCUUGCUGAGGUAGUAUAUCGCCUUCUUCUUUCUUCCCGACUCGUCAUGUUGGCCAAGCACACAUCCCAUAGAAUUGCUAAACACUGAUAAGUAUAGAAUUAAUGGUCUACCUGGAUUAGGUGGAGAUAACACAUGAGCAUUUAACAAGUAUUGCUUAACCUUAUCGAAAGUACUCUGGCAUUUCUCAUCCCAAGUACCUUGGUUGUGUUUUCUAAGGAGGCGAAAUAUAGGGUCACAUUUCUUAGUUAAUUGUGAAAUAAACCGAGCAAUAUAAUUUAACCUUCCAAGAAAACCCCAAACUUUUUUCUGAGUACGCGGUGAAGGCAAAUCUUGUAUGGCUCUAACUUUGUCUGAAUCAACUUCUAUUCCUUUUUCACUGACCACAAAACCUAGUAACUUCCCCGACCUGGCUCCGAAAGUGCAUUUUGCCAGAUUAAGUUUUAACUGAAACUUUCUUAAUCUCAAGAAUAAUUUCUUUAAAACCUCAAUAUAUUCCUCUUCUGUUCGAGAUUUGGCAAUCAUAUUAUCAAUAUACACUUCAAUUUCUUUGUGCAUCAUAUCAUGGAAUAAGCUUACCAUAGCCCGUUGGUAUGUUGCUCCUGCAUUCUUCAAUCCAAACGGCAUUACUUUGUAACAAAAGGUGCCCUAAAAUGUUAUGAAAGUGGUUUUAUCCAUGUCUUCCGGAUGCAUCUUGAUCUGGUUGUACCCCGAGAAACCAUUCAUGAAGGAGAACAACGAAUAUCCCGCUGUGUUGUCUACCAAAGUGUCUAUGUGUGGCAGAGGGAAAUUAUCUUUUAGGCUAGCUUUGUCCAAAUCUCUGUAAUCAACGCACAUUCGUACCUUCCCAUCCUUCUUAGGGACUGGUACAAUGUUAGCUACCCAUUCAGAAUACUUUACCUCUUGUAAGAAUCCUGCAUCGAACUGCUUCUUGACUCCGUCCUUUAUCUUCAAUAUGAUAUUUGGUCUCAUUCUUCGCAACUUCUGUUGGAUUGGUUUACAAUCCUGUCUUAUUGGAAGACGAUGCACCACGAUAUCGGUAUUUAACCCUGGCAUAUCUUGAUAGGACCAUGUGAAGAUAUCCUUGAACUCACGUAGUAACUCAAUCAGUCCUUACUUUGUGUCUUCAGCAAUAUGCGUGCCGAUUUUUACCUCUUUCCCCUCCUCUAGGGCUACACUCUCUAUUGUCUCUUUCUCAUGGGGCAUAAUUUGCUUUUCUUCCUGUUUUACCAUCCUCAAUAGAUCCAGAGACACAUCACAAUCCUGGACAUCUCCAAAAUCCUGAGAUUCCUCUAAACACAUGUCUUGUUCGUGAGAGAAAUCAAGAUUUGUAAUAUCAAUGCUCAUGUCAUUGAUAUCUAGAGACUUGUGAGGUAUAAAGAAUAUAAAAAGAAUGAAUGAAUUGAAGAAUGAUUAUUUAUGUGCUACGAAUGAAAGAAUAAGAAUUGCAAAAGUUUAACGGAAUAUUGGUUGAUAAAAAUGAAACAAUACUCGUUCAAAUUGAUAAAAGUUAUGUUUUAUUAAAAAUAAUAAUAGAUUAUCGUAAGCCCAUUCCACAAAUGUAAUCCUAUUACUCGUAGGCCCUAGAGUGACAAGAAUGUUUCGAGAAUUAUUCUGAAAAAUUCCUAAAGACUACAGGAAGUUCCUCCGCAGUCCAAUUGUUCAGAGAGCUUCCCGGUUCGUAAGGGCGAAUGCCCUCAAGGUUUCCUUAAUUAGUCCCUUCUUCAUGUAUGGCAUUGAUGGAAUGAUUUUCAUUUCUAAACACCCCCAUCUCCAGGUAAGCUAUCCCUCCUGAUACAAAAGUCUAGGAUAUGUAAGGGAGCGUCUUCUUUUCGCUCAGCCGUAACCCUCUUCUCUCUUUCUCUCUUUCUUUCUCUUUUUAACAUUAAUUAGGGUCUUUUUUAUGGAUUUAAAUGCAUGUGAUGUGAUGCAAUGCAAAUGCAUGAAUGCAAAAGAAAAGGAGAUGUUGAUUUUGAAUUCAAUUCCAUUAGAAUAACUUUUCUAGAAAACAAAUUUCUUUACAUGAAAAUAGAUUACAUAUGCGGUCUUGCCCUUCAUAGUCCAAGUAAACGUUGAUAUUUUCUUCAUGGUCGAAUCCUGUAAAUUCUCCAAAAGAUGCCUUUGCUAGCUCCUUGCUGCUUAAUCUAAGCAUCGAUCUCUUGCUUGUUUAUCUCCAUGAUACUCAUCAAAAAGUGCCGGCUCUUGGAUAAUCUUCGUUGGCAAUUAAAUCAAGUCAUGUAUUCCUUCGUGGACUUCUGGCUUUCUCUCGUCAUGCCUUUGUUGGCUUGAAUCUCUGGCAAUUACAUCAUGUAUUCCUCCGUGGACUACCAUCUUUCUCUCGUCGUGUUUACUUGGACUAUAUUCAGACGACCGCACUAUAAUCCACUUUAUCAAGAAAUUCAUUUCCUUAUGACAAACUAUUCUAUUUAGGAAUCAAAUUUCGAAUCAACACCUUCUUUUCUUUGAUGUAAUGUAAUAAAAAUACAUGAAUGCAAAAAGGUAUCGAUUUCGAUUCAGUUUCAUUUUAUAAAACGUUAUUUAAGGAACAAAAGUCUUUUCAUAAAACGAAUUACAAAUACGCUUUCGCUCGUAGGCCCAGAGUCUUAACCCUAUCUAAUAACAAAGCUAACUCUCGACCUCUAUCUGAACUGCCCCGCUUUAUAUUGCUUUAGGACGAGUAACGGUGCAUAGCCAACGACUCCCCAAAUCCCAGGAAGAGGUACCCAAUCAAAACUACAGCAGCGAUAAAGGACUUCAUUAGGAGUCAUCCAAGGUGCUUUCCACAAAACCUCCUCCUCUCGAAGAUUCUAAAGAAUAUCCAUCCACCUUUCUUCUGUAAUAUCGUCUCUCAUUGAUGUAGUUGCUGCUUCCUUUAAGGGGGAAUAACCCUCAAAGAAUACUCGGCAAGGAACCUUCUCAAGCUUCCAAAAGUGACUAUGGAACCAUACUAACAACAACUGUGCGCAUCCAAUGAAUCUACUUCACUGGCUCUCCGACAUGUACUUCAAGGAUCUAAAUGUCUCAGCUAGGAUUGCUAGCACCGGCGUGUUCUGCUUACCGACAAGAUCGAACAAAUCCGCAACUGCCUCAUCUAUGUGCCCCAAUACCUUUGGGAAAAUACCAUGCCAUAAAUACUCAAAGCUAGGACGUCGACCCUUUUCUUUACAUCUGGAUGUGUCAAUAUCAAAUCCCUCAAAAUAGCCCAUGGAACGCACUUACUAUCACCCUUUUGCUGCACACGAGCUACAGCCCACUGCUCACUCAUCCCAGUAAUCAUCACCAACUUCUUUGCAAAAGUUGGAAGACUAGCAGGCCUAACAUAAGCCUUGUGACCCUGAAUCCUCGGGCAACGCAGUAAAGUCGUAUACUCCUCCAAAGUAGGUACAAGAUCAACAUCACCAAAUGUAAAGCAACUAUAAGCAGGGCUCCAGAACUGGACCAUAGCUCGAAACAAGUGCCUAUCUACUUUGACAUCUAGCAAAUAGGGAAGGUCUCCAUCAUUCUGAUAGAAGAGCUGCUUAGCCUCGUCAUCCCAUUGGGCCCAAAUGUCUCUUAAUUCCUGAAACUAAUUCUGCGUUGAAUUAAUACGGGUGAAGUCCCAUAACUCUGAUGUGUACCCCUCAGUGACACUAUCUCCUUUUUCUAACUAGCUUUUCUCUGACCAGGUACAGAUAGAGGCAUUGUCCUCCACUUUAUCAAGAUAUUUGUUCCCCAUUACAAAACUUUCUAACUCAGAAAUCGAACCGUGAAUCGAUAUCUUUGAAUGUUGAAUGACAUGCAAUGAUAGCAAAAUAAAAUAGGUCAGUAUCAUAUAUAUAAGAAAUGAUAAACAAGUACUUACAAGGGUAGCUUACUAAAGGCUAUCACUAUCUUCCCUAGGGUAAGCACUUAAAAUUCACUAUAUGAGUUUUAGCUCCAAAGCCAAGGUACCUAAACCAGCAGAUUCCUUGGUCUUCACCCAUUAUAGGCUCAUAUAGACCAAGUUCAGUUCAGGGGGACACAUUUCCCUAUGGCCAUACGGAGAUGAAAAUCUCACGAAGACAUAGGUACAAUAUCCCGGAAGCAAUCCACUAGCUCAUACGAAGGUGAAAACCUUACGAAAGCGUAGCUUCUCACCCCCACUUAAGGGUGUGACCACAACGGUCAUGCAAAUGCAAUGUACAGCAAUAAGGUAACAAACAUAUGCAGCAAACACAUGUAAAAAGGAUCCAAUUUUAAAUCUUCCAAACUUCAGACAGUAAGACAGAAAAUACUCAAUUUCUUGGCUUGACUCUCUUAAGUUCCCAGCGGAGUCCCCAAGCUAUCGAAACUAUUUUUUAAAGGGAUGUUUGAAAAAUGGGGAUCGACUUUUGAAAAACGAAAACGGGAGUUGCCACCAGCCUUUUUAGGUGUGAUUAGAUCACCUUAUAAAACAUUUUGGUCUACGAAAAUUAAGAAAAUAGGUUCGGGAGUCGGUUACGUACGAGGAAGGAUUAGCACCCUCGCAACGCCCAAAAUUGGUACCAAAUUGAAUAGUUUUCUGUCUUAAUGUCAAAAAUUUGAAAGGAUUUAAAAAUAGGAUCCUUUUUUAAAACCGGAAUUAUUUAAGUUGAAAAAUUGAGAUUCCUUAGCUCCGAAAGAAUACAAACAUCACAUCCAGCAUGAUAGGACACGAUAUUCUUAAACUCUCGUAACUGAAAUCAUCUCGUGAUUUACAAAAUCUAUUUAGAAGGAUACUUUAGGCAUUUAGACAAACGGGAAAUCGCAACCCAGCAUGUUAGGGCGCUUUUUCUCGAAUUCCUAAAUAUGAAAAACAUUGCCUCAUUUUAGAAAAAACUUUUGGAUAAAAUAUGACAAUUAAAUGAAAUAUAUUUUUAAAAAAAUAAUGAUUUGAAUAAAAUUUAACAAAAUAAUUUACUAUGAGUAAUACUAAAAAAAUUAUUAAAAAAUGAAAGAGUUUGAUAUGAUACUAAAAUUAUUAAAAGAAAAUUAAUAUAUAUAUAUAUAAAAAUCAGGGAAACAUGGAUUAAAUCAAAAUAAAAAGGGUUGAAAAACGAAGAUGAACAAAGAAUAAAAUAAGAACAAACCGUAGAAAAUAAGAACGUAAGAGGGAGAGAAAUUUGAGUGAAAGCUCUCAAAAAAUUUUAUUGUUUCCCAAAACUCCAGUGUCUACAAUGAAGGGAGAGGCCUCUAUUUAUAGUUGAACCUCCUCAAAUCCAACGAUACAGAUCAAUUACAUCAACGGUUAAGAUUAAAAGGUAUCUACAAAUUAAAUCUCUAAGAUUACAAAAUCAUAUCUUCUAAGAUUGCAUAUUAUAUCUAAGUUUGCAAUCAUAUCUAAGAUUGUAUCAUAUCUAAGAUUGCAUAUCAUAUCUAAGAUUGCAAUCAUAUCUAAGAUUGUAUCAUAUCUAAGAUUGCAUAUCAUAUCUAAGAUUACAUAUCAUUGAAGAUUAUAUUUCCAUAUGAGUCAAGCUUGUAGAUAGACCUUAAAUCUUUUCAAGUAAUGGGCCAUUCCGAUCGGGCCAAAUUAUAUUUGUAAUUCUGGACUGAACUUGGAUUUUGUUUUUCUUUUUGGGGUUUAUUAUAUUUUUGUUUUUGGACUUAUUUCUGGGCCCGGGCAAAAUUGAGUGUCUACACCUGGCAUGAAGAAAAAUUUAUUAUUUGUGGCAUAAUUAACAUCUGCAGACCACCAAGUUUUGUUUAGUCCAUAGUGUGUAAAGGUAUUCAAAAAUGUUAAAGUCUCAGUAACACCAACCAUAGAAGGGAAGAGAAUGAAAUCUUUCUAUGUAAUGUCGGCAGAAACUGCUUAUAUGGACAAAACAAAAAAGAAUGAGACGACAGAUUUGUGGCACGCAAUGCUUGGAGACGUCAGCUAUCACAAGCUGAAAGUUAUGAUGAAGAAGUCAAUGCUAAAGGGUCUUCUUCAACUUGAAGUGUAAGAUGACACUGUUUGUACAGGAUGUCAAUUCGGUAAGAGCUAGUUCAUUCUGAUGUAUUUGGGAGUGUCAAGCAACCUUCCGUUAGUGGGAUGCGUUAUAUGGUGACUUUUAUUGAUGAUUUCUUAAGGUAUGUGUAGGUUUUUUUUAUGAAAGAAUAAUCAGAGACAUUUUCCAAGUUUAAAGAAUUUAAAGAAGAAGCUGAAGCAGAGGUUGGUAGAAAAAUUCAAUGCUUACACACAAAUAAUGGCGGGGAGUGCAUAUCAGAUGAGUUUUCUAACUAUGUAAGAAAUAACAAGAUUCAUCAUCAAUUCACAUGUGCCAACAUGCCACAGCAAAACGGAGUUGCCGAGAGGAAGAAUCGAUAUCUUGCUGAGACGUGUCAGAGUAUGCUUCAUGCAAAAAAUACCUGAAAGAUUUUGGGCAGAAUGUAUGAAAACCACUGCUCAUUUCAUUAAUAAAUUUCCAAUACCAAAGCUUGGUUUCAUCUCACCUUUUGAGGUACUAUGGGAUACUAAACCUGAUGUUGGUCAUUUUUGGGUUUUUGGGUGUAUUUGCUAUAUAUUUAUUCCAGGUCAUUUAAGGAGCAAAUUCGAUAAAAAAGCAAUCCGGUGUAUCUUUGUUGGAUAUGAUAACCAAAGGAAAGGAUGGAGAUGUUGUGACCCUGUGACUGACAAAUGCUACACAUCACGCAAUGUAGUGUUUGAUGAAACUUCUUCUUGGUGGACUCCACAACAAAUGAAAUUGCCAGAUUCUGAAGUAAAAGAAGAUCAACCCCAAGGGAAAAUAGAGGAGCAGUUUCUUGAGAUACAACCAAGUCCUGCAGCUAAUGAAGAAAUUGGAGACAAUGAAGUUGUUGAGACAACAACAAAUCCUUGGUGAAAUGGUGUUCAUCAGAGGCAGGAGGCCGAAAUCAAUCCAGAGGGUGAAGAAACUUUGCAGCCACAACUUAGAAAGUCAACCAGAUUUCGUAGGCAAAAUCCAAAGUAUGCGAAUAUAGCUGUAACGGAGGAAAAACCUUUGGUCCAACCAACAACUUAUAAAGAAGCGUCUCAAGAUUCUGAAUGGGUAAAAACAAUGGAGGAAGAGAUUGCUGCACUGGAACAAAACUAGACUUAGGAGCUUGUGCCACGUCCACCAGAUGUGAAACCCAUAUCUUGUAAAUAGGUUUAUAAAAUAAAGUAUCGUACUGAUAGAUUAGUUGAGAGGUACAAGACUCGGUUAGUUGCAAAGGGAUUUUCUCAAAAAUAUGGAUUGGACUAUGAAGAGACGUUUAGUCCGGUGGCAAAGAUUGUUACUUUUCGAGUUCUUUUGGCUCUUGCUGCUAGCAAUGAUUGGAAGCUGUGGCAAAUGGAUGUGAAAUUUACAUGAAUCAACCUAUUGGAUUUGAGAGUGAAAGUCAUCCUAGUUAUGAUUGCAAGUUAAAGAAGGCUUAUAUGGGUUGAAGCAAUCACCGAGAGCAUGGUAUGGCAAGAUUGCUGAAUUUUUUAACUCAAGUUGGUUAUGUUAUGGCUCAUGCGAAUUCUAACCUGUUUGUCAAAGUUAGUGAAGAGGAGUUAGAAAAGUGUUGGUGUAUGUGGAUGAUUUGAUAAUCACUGGAGAUGAUAAUGAAGAAAUCCACCAAGUUCGACAAAACUUGUCAGUCCGCUUUCAAAUGAAGGAACUUGGCCAACUUAAACACUUCUUAGGGCUAGAAAUUGAUCAUACAAAAGAAGGCAUGUUUUUUUGUCAAGAGAAAUAUGCAAAAGAUUUGUUGCAGAAAUUUGGAAUGCUCAAUUGCAAGACCAUCACUAUACCAGUGGAACCAAACAUCAAGUUUAUUACUCAUGCAGGGAAAGACUUGGAAGAUAGGUUGAUGUAUCAGCAACUUGUAGGUAGUCUCCUUUACCUAACUUUAACUCGACCUGAUAUUUCUUAUAUUGUUGGGGUAGUUAGUCGAUAUAUGCAGAAUCCCAAGAAACAACACUUGGAAGCAGUUUGACGAGUUCUAAGAUAUGUGAAGGAUACUCUGGAUUAUGGUCUUCUAUAUAAGAAAGGUGAGGUUUGCAAACUAGCUGGUUAUUGUGAUGCUGACUAUUCAGGGGAUCACGAUACACGUUGAUCAACCACUGGCUAUGUAUUCAAGUUUGGUUUAGGGACAAUUUCUUGGUGUAGUAAAAGAAAGCCAACUGUGUCCUUAUCGACAACAGAGGCAGAAUAUAGAGCAGCAGCUAUGGCAACCCAAGAAAGUACAUGGUUAGUGCAACUUGUGGAAGAUUUGCACCAAAAAGUUGAUUAUGCAAUAGCCCUCUAUUGUGACAAUCAAUCAGCUAUUCGUUUAGCAAAAAAUCCUGUGUUUCAUGCAAGGACCAAACAUGUGGAGGUGCACUACCAUUUUGUUAAGGAAAAGAUGUUACAAGGAGAAAUUGAGUUGUCCUAUGUCAAGACUGAUAACCAAGUUGUAGACUUGUUCAUGAAAGGCUUGAGUACAACUAAGUUGGAAAAGUUUUGCUCAUAACUUGGGAUUGUGAAAAGGUUUGGAGUUGGCAUUGAGGGGGAGUGUUAAAGUUCACCACCAAAUCAGUUAGUGGCCUAAAAUCUUAGGCAUAUCAGCAGAUGAAAUAUUCAAAUUAGUUACAAUAAAGUUAUUGAAUGGUUAGCUAAAAUCAUGGUUUAAUAUCUGAUUGUGAUUUUGCUUCUGGGUUAUCCUAUAUUUUAGCUAAAGUUGUUGUAGUUUCAGCCUAUAUAAAAAAUGUAAAUCAGUAAAUAAAAAGUGUCUUGAAUUCUUAUUUUUCAUUGAGUCUUUUGAAUAUAAUUCAUAAAAUGUUAUUGAGUGAGUUUUUCUUUUUCUUUUUUUUUUCUUUUUUUUUUUACAGCAAAUCUUCCUAUUUAGUCUAACAUGUUAAACUUGAUAAUACCAAUGAAGAUAUUGGUUGGAUUCUUCUUUUUGUUUGUUUUUAACACGUCCAUUGACUUGUAAUAGUAAAAGACUUGGCACUUGGCACUUUUAUUAUUAAUAGUAUAAGCCCCCAAUAAUGCACAUAUUUAUGUAGUCUUGUGGUGGAGCCCAGACAAGCUAUCGACAUCCUUGGAAGAAAAUAUACUGUUACAUCUUCGGCAUCCCAUACCAGUGGUGCCAGAAGAAGCAAAACCCUAACUUCAGGCAAUGGUUCCAAUAUCCAUUCCUUGAAGGAAAAAACAGAGACUCCAAGUUCAGACACAGAUAGUGAGUUCUUGGUUAGUAUUUUGUUCUUUUCAUUGGCUAUGAAGAUUACUAUUUUGUUCUUGUUCUUAUGGUUUUCCAAGUGUAAAGUAAUGAUUGUUUUGGUUCUUAAUAAAAGUUGAUGAAUUUUCUUAGCAAAAUGAACAAAUAUAUAAAAUAUUAUAAAAAAAUCAUUUCGAACGGUUCUUAAGAGAACCAUUGACUUGUAAUUAAUCCAAAGUCUUUGUGGUUUUAUUGCCUAAUUCAUAAAAAUUAUUCCAAGUCUUGCAUUGAUGGACCUCAUACACCGUGCUUUUAAAAGCACUUGCUAGGAAAUAAACUGGAUUAAAAUAAAUUCCAUCCAAAAAAGUAAGCAACAAGACCAAAUUAAUUUAUAACUUGCAACUGGGGUAGGUUGGCACCUUCUUUUAUUGAAUAAAUAUCAAAAUUGUAUUUGAAAUUUAAUUUACUGAAUGAUAUCAUAUAUAAAUUUUGAUUGUAUGUAAUUAUACAUGAAUCUUUUAUUUGAUUCAAUUUUCACAAAUUAUUAAUAAUAUUAUUGAAUUAAUAUAAUUUACCUUGUUAUAUUGUAUAUACAAACAAUUGUAUUAAUUUAGUAUAAAAAUAAAUACAUGUAAUUUAAACAUGUACAACUGAAUCAAAAUUAAAAUUUUAUAUAUAAUUACAUCAAAUUAAAUUUUAUCAUCAAAUUUCGUAUAUAAAUUAAUAAAUAAUUUUUUAAAAUAAUAUAACUAAUGAAUUUUACAAAAAAGAAAAGUUUUUUUUUUCUUAUUUUUGUCCAAGUUCCCACCACAAAGUAGGAGAUUCAAUACGAUGCUUUGUAGGUCCAAUGUAGGGCAAGAAUGUCGAACUUUAUUUUAGUGAGGAAUGAAUUAUUUUAUUCCAGGGAAUGAAUUACCUUGUGUUGCAGCAAAUUUCCUCAAAAUCCUCACUCCGAAGGUGAAGAAGGCUCAAAAAGCUGAGAAUAUGUAUCUCAAAUCUCGUAAACCUGAAUUUCUCUUCAUAUUAUUAUUCUUAUACACCCUUCCUAUGGGUUUACUUGUUCAUUUUACCAUGGCUGCAGCAAUUGAUGAUGGUAACAUCCAUUUCAAUUUGACUGAUUUCACCCCAAAUAUGCCUCACAUAGAGUUUGAAGCUGAUACAACCACAUCAGGUCGCCAAAUCCAACUCACAACCAACCAGAGAAACAAGGCUUUAAACGGUAGUGUUGGUCGAGCCACUUAUUACCAACCAAUGCACCUUUGGGACAAUUCAUCAGGGAAUCCCCGACUUGCAGAUUUCACCACUCAUUUUUCUUUCUCCAUCGAUUCCUUGAAUAAGUCCUCCGGAGAUAGGGGUGAUGGGUUUGCGUUUUUCCUUGCUCCCGAUGGCUCAAAAAUCCCUCCUCACUCCGGAGGUGGUUGCUUGGGACUUCAAAGUUGCGAUUCAGACGCUAACUCUAAAUUUGUUGCAGUGGAAUUUGAUACGUAUCCCAAUGUAUGGGAUCCUCUGGGGUUAGAUCACGUGGCCAUUGAUCUCAACUCUAUCAAGACUUCUUUUUACCCUGUCCAAUGGACGUGGAGUGGCAUUGAACAUGGAGGAAAGGUUGAUACUUUCAUCACUUACAACUCUAGUACAAAAAACCUGAGUGUCUUUUUACUUGGUGCUGAGGACUUUAAUCGUCUAAAUUCAUCUAAUCUUUCCGCAAUAUUGGAUCUUAGUCAAUAUUUACCAGAAUGGGUCACUUUUGGCUUCUCCGGAUCCACUGGAUCUAGCAUUGAGCUACACACUAUUUGUUCCUGGAGUUUCAGCUCCAACUUACAAGUUUCCAUGAAUAAAACCAUCAAUCCUCAAAAUCUACCACCAAUCCCUCCAUUCAACUCCAGAAGGAAGAAACAGACAUGGCUACGGGUAGUUCUAGCCAUUGUUGGUUGCAUUUCUACUUUGCUCCUAGUUCUAAGUCUGGUUUGGCUUUCCUGUAGAAGGAGAAAGUACAGAAGGAUGAGGGAAGAUGGGACCAUUUCUUUCAACGUAGACGUGGAAAUGGUGACAGCACCUAGGAAGUUUUCCUACAAGGAACUCAGGCUUGCAACGAAUAAUUUUGCCGAUGAAGAUCUCCUUGGAGAGGGAGGUUUUGGAAAAGUUUAUUUAGGCUUCUUGAGGGACACCAAUUCCAAUAUUGCUGUCAAAAGGAUAACUCCAAAUUCUCAACAAGGGGUGAAACAGUACGAAUCCGAAAUUACCACUAUUAUCAAAUUGAGGCACAGGAAUUUGGUCCAACUUAUCGGUUGGUGCCAUGACAAUAAGGAGUUCCUCAUUGUGUAUGAGUUCCUUCCAAAUAGGAGUCUCGAUUACCAUCUACAUAAAGAGCCAUGCUUGUUGACAUGGGAUACAAGGUAUAAAAUCGCCAUGGGAGUGGCCUCAGGGUUGUUUUAUCUACAAGAAGAAUGUGAUCGAUGCGUGCUGCAUCGAGACAUCAAGUCAAGUAAUGUUCUGCUAGAUUUUAGUUUCAAUGCCAAGCUUGGUGACUUUGGGCUGGCUAGGCUUGUUGACCACGGACAAGGGUCUCAAACAACAAAAUUGAUCCUUGGGACGGAUGGUUAUAUAGCACCCGAGUGUCUUGAGACAUACAAAGCCAUUAAGGAAUCCGACAUAUACAGCUUUGGUAUUGUUGCCUUAGAAAUAGCCUCCGGAAAGAAGGCCGUAGCUGUAAUUGAAAGGAAUGGCAAGAGAUUCAAGACAAAACUGGUGGAAUGGGUUUGGGAAUUGUAUAGGGAAGAGCGUCUUUUGGAUGCUGCUGACCCAAGAUUGUCUGGAAACUACGACAUGGAACAAAUGGAACGGUUGCUGUUAGUUGGGCUGGCUUGUGCUCACCCAAACUAUUUUGACCGCCCAUCCAUAAGGCAGGCUAUUGAAAUCCUUGGUUCCAAAGCCCCACUUCCCAGUUUACCACGCGAGAUGCCGGUUCCAUUACACAUUGCAGCUCUGCAAGACAACAUCGUUACAUCUUCAGCAUCCACUUCAUGCUAUACCAGUGGCCAAACUCAAAGUUGAGGCACUGGGUCAAGAAUUCAUUCAUUUUAAGGAUAAAACAAUGGCUCCAGGUUAUGACACGGAAGCCAAGCAGUGAAUUCUUGGCGGUUGGUAGUUGAACCUUCUUUUGUUGUAUAUAUGGCUUCUUGUUUUCUAGUUUUGAUGCUUUGUUAUAUCCAUGGUUUCCGCACCUUGUGUUUUGUUCUUUUGAUUGGGUAUAUGCGAAGAUCACUGUAUUUAAAGAUUUUAGUGUUCUUAGUGUAAUGAUUGCCUUCGUUGUUAAUUAUAGUUUAAUUUGAAAUAUUCUAUAGAUUUUCUUCCUUUUAAAUUUGCUUUUAUCUCUAAGAGAUUGAGAUUUGAGACAAUUGUGGCUUCAUAUUGCCCAAGAACCACUAAUGGAACUCAGUCACAUCCUACAGGAUGAUAACCGGUUGUGUUAUGCUAAGAAAAAUAUAGGAUUAGGUAUGCAAUUUGACUUAAAAUUUUUAUUUGAAAUAACAAAAUAACAUGGUAAAUUUUGGAUAUUAUAAUUAUUUAAGUUUAUUUUUACCAAAUCAAUCUUUAGAAACCAUUUAUAUUUAAAUGUUGUAAUUACUAAACUUUUUUUUUACCAAAUAAAUCUUUAGAUCUAUUUUGUAUUAGUUUACUAAAUUAAAUUAUAAAUAUUACUAAAUUUAUCAUAAAAAUUAUAAAUUCUAUAAAAAAAUUAAAUUUAAAAAAAAACUUUAAAAAUUUUGGGGGGUCAAACAUAAAUUUUUCUUUUCUUUAAGCACUAAUUAUAAUAUCAACUUAAAAAAAAAUUAAAACCUAAAAAGGUUAAAGAAAAUUCAUAAAAUUUAGAGGGGUCGGGCCCUGCGAACCCCUAGUUUUGAGAAUUUUAAUUGGGAGCAGCAUAAGAAUAUAAAUUCUUGGGGGAUAAACUUAAAAUUUUCAUACUAAAAGGAUUGAAUUGUAUUACUGAACAAUACGAGAGUCUAAAAUUACAAUAAACUCAUUUUAUCCAAAAUGGCCCAAAGCUCCAACCUAGAUUCGCCCUUGCAUGCGAAUUUUAGGGAUGUGCCAAAUGAAUUAUAUUUCAUUCUACCAAAAAAUAAUAGUAUAAUUUAAAUGUGAUAUUAAUAAAAUUUUGACUGUCAUUUCUUCUUUAAUGUUUCAUACAUUCGAAAAGUAACCAUCACCCUAAAGCCCAUUGAAUAAAUUUGUUAUGUUUAAAAUAAGUUAAAAAGAUUAAAAAAAUUAAUAGUAUAAUUUAAAUGUGAUAUUAUGCCUUUAUUUAUUCAAUUAAAUAAUAAUUCAAAGUACUUUCAAAAAAAAAUUUCAAAGAAAAUCGAUUAAUCUUAAGUCAUCUUUUACCUCUUUGAGAAAGUAUAUUUACUGCGUAUAAUAAUUCAUGUAAUUUAUUUCUUAUUUAUCAAUUUGUCCUUCCAUCUUAUAAUGCAAACAAUUUAUCCUACAUUUGGUUGGAGUAUUAUUUUCUAGUUAUGUUUUAGUAUAUGAGUUAGUAAUAAACUAAUUCAAUUGGUAAUAUUUAACCACUCUCAUGACUUAUUUAUAACAAAAAAAAAGGAAUUUUUUUUGCUUAUUUUGAAGAGGCAUUAUUUUUUACAUGAGUUUCUGUUAGAGAUCGACCCAUAUAAGCAGCGAACAAGAAAAGUAGAGAAGAAUGAACACAAAUAUUUAAUGUGGAAAACUCCUACGAAAAGGAUAAAAACCAAGGGCAAAGGAGGCUUCAGCUUUUCACUAAAUGAGUAAACAAACAAGAGUACAAUAUUGAGAAAAUAAGCCUUAAUGUACAAAUUCAAAACCCGAAUACAAAGCUGUAACUCGGAAACAAAAUUCUCUCCAUGUUUACAACGAAAACUCUCACCAAAACUCAUUUGUGACUUCUUGUAGCCUUCAAGAUAAAAGCCCUGUAGUACUACAUAUUUAAUUGCCUACUUAAUUGGUCUUUUAAAACGGGGAUAUAAUGACCCCUUUUAAAUAAGCUAAUAUUAGAGUUCUAAUCACAUUAAAAUAUCCUUAGAGUAAUCAAAGUUCUACUGGGAAAAGAUAAUGGAAUUUAACUAGGAGAAAAAACUCGGUGUUUGUGGGAAACAAGUCACCAUGUCUCAACGUCCUCAUUCACAUCGUCACAAUGUUGGGAAGCUUCUCAUCGUGAUGUUGCCAACUAGCUUUGGUAAGUGCCUGCAAACUAUUCAAUAAAUGUGAGGCACGACCUACAGCUUUUACUUAUCUUUCUAGUUUCAAGUUUAAUUUUUUAUUAACUAUUGCAAUAUAUAGGUAAUAAAUAAGUUUUUCCCUCAUGUUAUUACAGUAGUAACCAUACGAUGCAUUAGAUAAAUGUAACGACCCAAAAGUCAAUAAAGUCGAAAACAGUGGUUUUGGAAUGUUGUUUUCCGAAGAUAGAAUUCGUGAAUAUUGUUUAUUCAUAGUUACGAAGGUAUUACAGUAUUAUAUUGAGGUUGAUCUAAUAAUUUUAAUUAUUAGAAAGUUAGACAAGGUACAAGAGUAUCGGUUCUAAAGUCGAUGAUUUUGAAAAUUUAGGUGUUGGGACCUCAUUUCUCUAAACUGGACUCGUAAAUAUUUUAUAGAGUUAUAUUAGAAGUGAAUUAAAUUUUUGGUUAUGUAAUUUUGAAGAAAAAGUGUUUAAUUAAAAUAAAGGGACUAAAUCAAAUAAGUGAUAAAAGUAAGAAUGAAUACUAAAUUAUAAGGUGAAUCUAUAUUGGAGGACUUAUUAAAUAAAUAGACCCUUAUUUAUAGAUUUUGAUAGGGGAUGUUUAUGAGGAUAUUUGUUACAUCCCGUUUUCAGUGAAAUCGAAACAGUGGUUUUAGGACCACAAAUCAGAUGUCAAAAAAUUUAUUUUAAUAUUAAUUUAUGAUCUACAGCAUGAUAGUAUUAUCAUAUAAAAAUUUCAUUAAGAAAUUUUAACGUUUACAUGUUCAAUUUGAUAAAAAUGACUAAAUCACGUAAAGUGCAAAAAUUGUAUUCUAUUAUCUAAAGGUAUUAAAUAACUAUAAAACUUUAAAGUGGACGUCCUUAUAUGGUAAUUAGACUAUUAAUGUGUUAGUGGAUGAUAAUGGUUUGGCAAUGUUGUAAUUUUUAAAUAUUAUAAAGGUUAAUAAAGUAAAUUAGGUAUUAAAUGAAUAAAUAAAGUAAACAUAAAGCUUUCAUCUUUAUUUUUUUUCUUCCUCAACCGAAAUUUCAAACAAAAAGAAGCCAUGGAUGCUGGAAAAUUUCAGCUAGUCAAAUUCCUUGCAUGUAAGCCCCUAAACUAUCAGUUUCUUGUAAUUUUUAUGUUUUUGAUAUCGUUGCAACUAGGUCCAGCUAGUCUUACCUUUGAUUUUGAAACUGUUAAAGAUUCUGAAUGUUGCCAUUGAUGAAUCUUGUGAUUUUUUAUGUUAUAUGAUGAAUUUGGAAUGUUGAUUUGUAUUUAAGAGUAUUUUGUUAAAUGAUUUUGAUGAAUUUUUUUAUUAGGGACUAAUUUGUUAAAUUAAUAAAAGUAUAAGGAUUUAAUGUGAAAUUGUUUCACAAAUGGGCUGUUUUGGAUACCAUGAACAUUCGGCUAAGCUCAAUUCUGGGUAAAAAUGGUUAUUUUUCAUGUUUUGGGCUCAAUGACUAAAUUGAAUAAAAGUAAAACUUUAGGGGCAAUUUUGUAAAGAUGUCAAAAAGACAAAAUUGUAUGAAAUGAAUUGUUUUAUUGUCUAAAUUAAUAUAUUGAAUGAAAUUAUUAAUUUGGAUCAAGAUCGAGUGGAAAAUAGAGGGAAAUAAAAAAUUACCAAAAUGUCCCUAAACUUUGGUAUUUCUACAAUUUAGCCAGGUAAGUUCGUAGUCCUUGAACUCAAACUCUAUUUAUUUAAUUUAAAUACUUAAUCAUUACUUUGAUAUAUUAAUUAUAUUUACAUAUAUGCAAAUGAUUAAAUUAUGAGAUGAGAAAUUGUGUAUUAUGCAUAUAUAUGAAAUGUGACAUUAUGAAAUGAAUCAAUAAGCAAUUAGAAUUUAAAUCGAUAGUAUGGGAAUGCUAUAUAUGGAGAUAUAAUGUGGAAUGAUGAGAUUGAAGUUGAAUAAUGUUGGUUAAUGUAUGGAGUUAAAUAAAAUCUUGUGUUUACAUGCUAGGUAAGUUCGUAAUCUUGAAACUCGAAUGUCAUUUACUUAAUUUAAUUAGUUAAUUGUUAAUUAUUAUUUAAGUAUGUUUUUAUUUGUGUUUGGUUAAGUUCUAUUGAAUGGAUAUUGAUAAAAUCAUAAACAGAUAGAAUGUGACAUUAUGGAAUAAAUUAAUGAAUGGUUAAUAGAUAAUUGAAGUGAAUAUGAUAUUGAGUUGAUUAUUAGAUAAUUGAAGUGAAUGUUGAGUUAUGAAAUGCGAUAUUGAGAUUAUGAAAUGUGAUUUUAUGGACUUGCGAAUGAGUAAUUGAUAUUGUCGAUUCAUCCGACUAGAGCUGGGCUCACUAUUUAUUUCGUCGGUUUAUCCGACUAGCGCUGGGGGCAAAUAUCGAUGGUUUAUCCGACUAGAGUUGGGCUCACUAAUUAUUCAUCAGUAUAUCCAACUAGCGUUGAGCGCAACUUUCAUCAGUUUAUCUUACUAGUGCUGGGCAAACAUUUGUCGAUUUAUCCGACUAGCGCUGGGCGCAAACUCUUUUGUGGAUUAUCCGCUAGGCACCGGGUGUCUUGUAUCAACUGGACUAUACAGCAAGGUUUUAUGAAUCAUCUAAGAAGAAUGGUUAUAGGUAUUACUAAAAAAGAUUAUAUUUACUUAUCUAUAUACAAUUAUUCAUUAGAAGAUAUGAUAUAUUCUUGAGUUAGAUUAUUAAAGUUGUGAAAUAAAUUCAAAUGCUUUAGAUAUACUUGUGGUUUUUCGAAUAAGUGAAGUUUACUUAACGUGGAUUGGUUUGUGCCAUAAUAUAAGUAAAUUAUUGAUUGAUCUAUGCAAAGCUAUUUAUAUAGCAAGUGAUGUGAAUUGAGGUAUAUGUUUAAACCAACUAAAUGUGAAUACUUGUGAAAAUUGAGUAUAGCAUGAAUUAAGAUGAUAAAAUUCAUGAUAUUGAAAUGGUGAUAUCUUGUAAUUGUAUAUUUAGAUAGUAGUAUGAUAGUAUAAUUCAAUUUGAGCAUUCAUGUAUCAUAUCAUGUCUUAAAAUGUUCGGAUUAUAGAAAUAUCAUUGAGUUUUACUCAACGUGUGGUUUUGUUUCCGUACUCUCUUUUGAUCGCCGACCCAACAUCCAGCAACGAUCCUGAUCUCAAUUGUGGUGAUGUUUACCUUUUGUGAUGGCAUGUACCUAGGAUGUCCUAAUCGGUAGUAGUUUUAUGAGUGAAUUGUAAUUAAGUAUAACGUUGGUUUGAUAUAUACAUAUAUAUAUGUAAACAUGUGUUUGUGUUUGAAGCCAUAAUAUAUUAAGCUUGUUGUUUAAGGCACAUUUUAUGUCCACACGGCCAGAGACACGGGCGUGUGACUUGGCCGUCUGGCCGUGUGAGACACACAGCUAGCAUAUGGGCAUGCGAGGCUAUCCUCGAGGGUUACACGGCCUAGCACAUGGGCGUGUAGCUUGGCUGUGUGACCCAAGUCAGUGAGUUAUGUAACAUUCUAAACCUGGCCUAGAAGUUUAGAUCGAAUCCCGGAUAUUACAUUGACCACCGAAGUGAUCGUAGGUGAAUUUUUGCAAAAACAGGUUGUCACGUCAAACCGAAACAUUUAAUAGUCAAAAAAUUCAUUUAGUAAAAUUACAGUUGAGAUAAUAUAUAUAAGUAGAAUAAAACUUAAAUUGGAAUAUGUACUACAAUUUUAUAAAAGCUUACAGUUCAAAAUCUAAAUGAAAAAAUAGAAACUGAAAAUAUAACGUUUACUAAGUUUUCUCCAAGUCCGUCUGAAAUCUCCGCAUACCGAUCCUAGCGUUAGAAAUUAGAUAAGGUACCUGAAAGGGAAACACUAAGAGGGGGUGAGCUACUCGAGCUUAGUGUGAGUUCGAAACAAAACAAGAUACAGAAUUACAGUAUUCAAAGUAGAAGCACAAUAGAAUUUCAAACACACACAGAGUCGGAGAGUAUACUUGAAACUAACGUCCCAACCAAAUGUAACAACCCGAGCACACCAAAUUCAUACAGAAAACUCUAUACGAGUGCUGUAUAAACAUACAGAUUAUAGACAACUAAUCUUACAAAUAGAACUCAUAGACAGAUGCAAAUGAAAUGCAGUCAGAUAAUAAAACCCAGCCAUCCAACCAACACACCUCUCUGUCCCCCAAUCACACUGCAUAAGAACUGUUUAAGCUCAUCCAACCAAAACACACCACUUAGGACCUCAAAAGGCCAAUCUAACCUUACACACCACAUAUGUGGACUAAGCCACUCAGAUAUCAAUACGCAGCAGAGCUGGCAUAUUUGCUGUACAGUACAAUGAGGUAAUAUGUUGUACAGUCCUGUUACAGUUAUACUGCCAGUCAGAUAAUAGUACGCAGCAAAGCUGACGCACAUGCAGUAAAGUGUGAUAAAUAUGGAUAAAGAUAUGUCAGAAUGAGCCUGUUGGUCCAGUGGUUAAGUGGAGUGUUGACGUUGCAAAAUGUCAAGAGUUCGAGUCUCUGCGCGAGCGAAGGAUUUAUUCUUACUUGUAGCUGUAUAAGUUCUUUUGCCUCCCACUCUACUUUUCAUCAUUUUGCUGUUUUCUCUUGCCGAAGUUACAUUGAGUUCUUUCUUCUUUUUCUCUUUUUCUGUCUUUGUUCUUUUCUCCUCUUCGUCCCAUUACUUAAGGUUUUUUCGAAAGCAAGUCUUUCAAUUUCGAGUUGCAAGUUUUGGUAAGUCUUUGUAAGUAGUUCGUUUCUUUUGAUGAUUUCCCUUUGAUAUGUUUCAUACAUGGCAUUAGGGAGAGGUUUUCAAGCACUCAUGGGCAUCACUCUGAGAUUUAUUUGGGUGCAAGAUUCAGUGUAUAUUUUGAAGGUGGGAGGUUAGUCGCUUUUGGGUUAACCUUGAUGCAAACUCAUUAUGGGUUGUUUUAUUAAUAUGAUAUCACAGGUUCUUAAGUACCAUUGUAGGGUGAUGUUGUUUCAUGCUGACUUCUUCGGCUGUUUAAGUUCGAUUGUAAUCACUCAGUUGUAGAAAUGACUGUUAGUUCUUUUGUUGGUGAUAGGUUCUCUUCAGAGGGCUGGUGAUCUCUAAUCGUCAUGUAUGUUGUGCGAAACUUGUUGGUGUAGUGAAGGUAGCAUUUCGGGAUUUUGGCAUAUGGUCUCCUCUUUUUGGCGUUUUGGCAAGGAUGGUUGGAGGGGACACUAUCUUUAUGUUUAAUGAUCUGUUUCUAAUGGAGGCCUAAAUUGUGUUUAGGUAAUUGGUAGUCGACUGUAGUGAUUUGACCGGUGCUGAAACAGUAAGGGAAUCAUUAUCAUGCAUUCUAGGUGUUAGGGUAUUCGUGGUUGUGUUCUCUGCAAAUAAGGUGUGUAACACACUACCCCUACUCGCAAAUCGGCAAAAGCUAGAAUGAGUGACCCACAACGCUACACAAGUGUGCGCUCACUCGUGAGGUAAACCGAAUGCCUAAAUGUGGGCGUAAGAUUAUUGGGGCCGGCCAUGAGCAAUUUCAUAGGCAGAGUCCGUUUUGGGUCAUCUUGGGCCGAACUGGGCCGUGUGGGCCCCACGAUCUCGUGGGCCCUACAUGGGUAAACCAUAUGAACAUGUGGAGAUUAUUGAGCCAGGCUAUGUAAUUCAUAUGGCUAAGGCCAUUAUAGGGCUUUGUGGACCAUACGGGCAUGUGGGCCCACAUGAGCUGCAAAAUGGGCCUUGGGCCCAUUUUCACUAUUUGACUGUUAAGGUUGCACGGGUCGCCCGAGAUGACUGUGGACCUUCUGUUGGGUCGAUAGGUGUACCUAGACCCUUAAUCGAUAAAAUGACUAUUUUGCCCUUAUGUGUUAAAAUAACUGUUUUACCCUUAUAUGGUAAAAUGACUGAAAUGCCCCUACAUGGUAAAUUGAUUGUUUUGCCCCUAUGUGAUAUAUGUUUAUAUUUUAGCAUGCUAUUGUAACUGUGUUGAGUACAUGUUUAAUAUCAUGACAUGUGGCAUGAUGCAUUGCAUGGGGUGGGUUUUUAUAUGAUGGAGGAAGUGUACUGUUCUGGCAGCUCUGCUGCAAAUCAUUGAUGGCUUUAAGUCUAUUUUACUGGAAGCUCUGCUGCAAAUACUGUUUAGUGCCGCAACCGGUGCUAAUUUUGGUGUGUAGGGAUGGGUGGGUUGAUUAUUUCCCCACAUAGAGUGUAGGGUUGGACGGAGAUGGUGUGUAGAGACUGGAUGGGUAGGACUUGCAUACUGUUUACUGUUACUGCACUGUUUGCUGUUACUGUAAUAGGCCAAGGCCUAAUAUAUAACUGUUUCUGUAUUGAGAUGGGCUAAAGCCCAAACUGAUAUUGUCACUGUUUAUAUUAAGGGCUUAGGCCCAGACUGUAUUUGCACUGUUUGAUUGUUUGUUUACUUAUAUGGGAUUACAUACUGAGUUUUUGUAAACUUACCCAUUUGUUUAACAGUACAAGUAAUCCCCAGCCUUAGGCAUAUCGGUGUUGCGGGGGACUCAAAGGUUGCCACACAACCGCACGUAUUUUCUUAUUUGAUUUAAAAUUAAGUUUUUGGGGUAUUUUUAUGUAAUAAGGCCUCUUUAAUUUGGGUUUUAUUUUUAAUUUGGGGGUUUAUAUUUGUUUUGCUUUAAUACAGCUAGCAGUAGGAAAAACACGCGGGUUUUCAAAAAGAUAAAUGUUUUUCAAAAAAUACCACGAAUACAUAAAUGGUUUUAAGAGCUACUGCAAGAAAACAACGUUUUACAAGUAAACGCUAGUAAGCUUCUGCUAUAAACGAGAUUUUGAAAUUAAUAACGUUUUAAAGUGAAUACUUAUUGAUAAUGAAGCAAGUUUUAAAAUCAUCUUUUAGAUCACACAAAGAGGCUAAAUAAAGAUUGGGCUUUUCAAAUGAGAACAUGCUUUACGAAAAACACUUCAAUGUGACAUCGCCAGGUUCAGCCAUAACGUCCAGGCCAGGUUUGGGGUGUUACAGGAACCUAAAUACGAUAUACAAAAUUAUCAAAAGUUGUAACUAAAGGUAUAGAGGUGAAUGAAUGAAUACUUUACAAAUAAAUUAGCACAUUUUUAUAGGAUACAUCUAUCGAUAGAAAAUCGGUCCACCAAGUAUUACUUUAUGAGGGAGAUGGAUUAGCAAGUGCAUCAUAAUAGUGAAGAAGGAAUGUGGAAAGAUCUUCUCCAAAUUGCAUAAAGUCAAAGCGGCUCGAUCUUGUACUUUCUCAAGUUCUUCAACAUUCAAAACUUUACCGCAAAUAGCUUUCAUUAUAUUGGAUAAUUCAUUUAUACAAGACGUCACAUUUUUUAACAUACAACACCGUAAAGCAACUGGCAGUAAAUCUUGCAUCAAGAUGUGAUAAUCAUGUGAUUUUAAGGAAUAUAUUCUUCUAUCUUUAAGACUCACACAUUGAGAUAUAUUUGAUGCAUACGCAUCUAGGACCUGUAUAUCCUUCAACACCAUGCAGAACAUUUCUUUCUCUUUCUUUUACAUUCCAAAAAUAGAAGACGCCAACCAAUAUUUCCCAUUUGGAAGUACUUAGGGAUGAAGAUCACGCUGAAUUCCCAUGUCAACUAAAUCAAGUCGACUUUGAAGAUUGUCUUUCGAUUUUCCAUCGACAUUCAAAAUUGUCUCAAUGAUGUUCUCGCAAACAUUCUUCUCAAUAUGCAUGACAUCAAGAUUGUGUCGUAAAAUGUGAUGCUCCCAAUAAGGCAACUAAAAAAAAUACUUCUUUUUUUUCCACAAGUCCGCCUCAUUAGGAUCAUCAUCUUCAUCAGAUUCAUCAUCAGAUUCAUCCCUUAAUCUUCUCUUUUUUUGCGUGUUUGAUGGUUGAUUCAUCUUCCCAUAACGAAAAUUGAUAUCUUUCAACAUGAAUAAGAUUUCAGAUCCAAUGGUCGGCUCGGGAGCUUCUCUGAACUCUUUAGUACCGUCAAAUAGAGUCCUCUGAAAUCUAAAUCUAUGAUUUUCAUCUAACCACCGACGAUAUAUAACCACUUCAAACUUGCGUAACACAAAAAAGACAAGCAUAACGUCUUUUGGUACUCCAACCAGAUAAAUUGGCAUAAGCCAGGAAAUCAUUAAUAAUCCACAACAAAGCUGCACGUAAAUAAAAGUUCUCCUUUCUCAAUACAUCGUAUGUCUCAACACCCACCCAUAAUUGUUUUAACUCUUCAAUAAGUGGCUGCAAAUAAAUGUCAAUAUCAUUUCUGAGACCUUUCUCUCUAGGGAUAAUCAUAGAUAAGAUAAAACAAUAUUGCUUCAUACAAAUCCAUGGAGGCAAAUUUUAAGGAACAAGCACUACAGGCCAAGUACUAUAAGAAGUGCUUAUGAUUUUAUAAGGAUUAAAUCCAUCAGAUGCUAGCCCAAGCCUCACACUCCGAGGAUCGCUUGCAAAGCUUGGAAAUUUACUGUCAAAUGAUUUCCAAUCUAAAGAAUCCGCAGGAUGCCUUAAUAAUCCAUCACCGGUUCGUUGAUUAUGAUGCCACCUCAUAGACCCAGCUGUCUUUGACGAUAUGAAAAGCCUUUGAAGCCUUGGUAUUAGUGGAAAAUAUCGCAAAAUCUUGACUGGCUUCUUUCUUAACAGUGCCUGACCUUCAUCCUCAUUCACAUCUUCUAUAUUCCUAUUCAUCCAACGAGAAUUACCGCAAACAUGACAAAACUGUUGGUUUUUCCUAUCACCCCAAUAUAACAUGCAGUCAUUUGGGCAACUAUGAAUUUUGUCGUACCCAAUGCCUAAAUCUUUUAUCAGUUUCUUCAUAUCUUUGCAUGAAUAAGGGAUUUUUGUAAACGAAGGCAUAUCUCUCAAAAACUCUAACAGCAUUGUAAAAGAGUUUUCGAUCCACCCUCUCAAACAUUUUAAGUGAAAUAGACGAAUGCAGAAGGACAAUUUUGAAUAUUUUGAUCCCUCGUAAAGUUCUUCAUUCAUUUCAUUAAGUAAAUUGUAAAACUUCGCCGCUUCUCCAUUUGGCUCUUUAUCAGGUACACUUCUUCCCGCUUCGGUAAAAGCAUUUUCACCAAUAUUACAAUCAUCGAAUGCAAUAAAGUCAGGUGAAAACGAUUGCAAACCAUGACUGUGCAUAUUAAAUGCAUCCCGCAACAUACCUUCCAUGUCAUCUUCUCUAACAGACUGCUUGUAAGCACUAUGAAGAUAAGUCGGAUUAAUAGUUGAAGAGGUUCUACUAGAUGUACACUCUCCAUGGAAAAUCCAUUUUUUAUACCCCCGAAUAAAGCUAUCAACAAUUAGAUGUUCGUAGACAACUUCACGAAAAUGCCAAUUGAUGUUGCCACACUUCUUAUACAGGCAAAGAAUCAUAUUCUCUUAGCUUGCAUUUUGAAAUGCAAAAUUUAGAAAAGUUUGUACUCCAUUUCGAUAGUCAUUGCUUACCCUUGACAAAUUCAUCCAACUCUUAUCCCUUUUUUUGUUCUUGAGGUCUAAAGUUGACAAUAUGAUAUUUAUUUAUGUCAGUUAUGUAAAAUAUGUAAGUUAUGAAAAUGAUGUAAGUUAUGUAAAUUCUGUAAAUUAUGUAAGUUGUGUAAAUUAUGUAAGUUAUGUAAGUUAUGACAUUUAUGAUAUGAUAUAUAUUUAUGUAUUAUGUAAGUUAUGUAAGUUAUGAUAUGAUAUAUAUUUAUAUAAGUUAUGUAAGUUAUGUAUGUUAUGUGAGGUAUGUAAGUUAUGAUAUGAUAUAUAUGUAAGUUAUGUAAUUUUAAAGAAAUGAAAAUGAAAAUAAUGUAAAUUGAGUAAUAUCUGUAUGGGCAUACAUUUGUAUUGUCAAAAGAAGAUUUCACCAUUUCACUAAUAUACACACCUCAACUCAGUUCGACAUUUUCAUUGUUUUAAAAAAAAUUAAUCUAAACCAAAACUCAAACUUUAGUAUAAUUUAGUAUGAUUGUUAUUUUUAAAUAAAAUAGACUUAAUGGAAUAAUGUUAAAUUGGAUUUAUGUUCAUAUUUGGCAGCAACUAGAGGUGUGCAUGGACCGGGUUCGGGUCGGGCCCACAAAAAAUUUUAGGCCCGUUUUCUAGGCCCGGGCCCGGCCGGCCCGAAAUAUGGGCCUAAAAAUUUGUCCAAGCCCGGCCCGAAAUAAAAUUGUUAAGCCUGAGCCCGGCUCGGCCCAACCCCUAUUAAAAUUUUUUUAACUUAUUUUGUUAAAUAAAAAAAUUUAAAAUAUAUUAAAUAAUCAAAUACAUUUAAAAAAAAUAUUAAAACAAAAAACAAAUAAAAAUAUAUUAAAACAAUUUUUUAAACAAUACACAAAUUGAAAAUAUAAUAAAAAUUAAUUAUAUUAAAAUUAAAAAUAAAAUAUAAAUAUGAUUAAAAAUAAAAAAUAUAUAUUUAGUAUAUAAUUCGGGCCGGGCAAGGCCCAGGCCAAAAAAAUUUACCCGAGCCCGGCCCAUUUUCUAAACAGGCCUCGAUUUUUUGCCCAAACCCAUAUUUCGGGCCUAUAUUUUUACCCAAACCCUCCCAUUUUUCGGGCAGGCCUUCGGGUCGGACUGGGUAUCCCGGCUCAUGCACACCUCUAGCAGCAACAGUGAUGUAAUAUCAACAAGCCAUUCUUUUGAUUCUUUUCCAUAUUCUUUACAUUUACAAUCAUGCCCGAUAAAUAAUUUAAAUUUUAUUUCACACAAGUAUGCUAAAAUUCAAGAGAACACUAACCUCAAUAAGCUUCCCAAAAUAGUAGGUUCAACAAGAAGCUUCAAUCCAAACGUUAAAUCUAGCUUCACCCUUGUUCUCUUCUCUAGCUUCAAGCAUAUACCUAACAUUUUCCAUGAAAAAAGCCAUUACUACUUUCUCAAAUAUUAAUUCAUGUAUUAUAAUUUGAUCUCAAAAUAUUAAAUUUAUUAAUAUAUUAUGAGUCAUUCAUAACUUAAUAUGCAUUGUUAAAAAUAAUUUUAUUUAAAAAAAUCCAAAAUUUAAAUGCAUUUAAAUUGAAAACAAUUAUAAAUUAACAUGUAUACUAGUUUAAAUCCACUUGCUUGUUUGAACGUUGAUGCAUUUGCAUGCCCACUUUGCCUUUCACAUGAGUUUGAGAUAAGUGGCUAACCCUAAGUAGGCCCCACAAGCACAUGGCCAAGUUAGCAAACGCCUUGAUUUUUCUUCUUCUUUUUUAUUAUUAUUUUAUCUAAUAAAUUUGAGAUAUUUAUUCCACUAAAUUCCAUUAAAGAGGCAGACAACUACUCCCACAAAGUUGAGGCAGACAACUAGUCAAUACAAACCAUAACCUUAAAUAUAAAUUAUUUAAUAUAUCCAAAAUAUUCUAAAUAUAUUUAUAAUACAAAAUAAUAAUAAUAAUAAUAUAACCCAAUAUUUUGAUUUCUUUUUUUUUCUCAAUUUUUUUAUUUCAUAUAUUUCUUGCUAAAUUAUCAUCCCAGUUUUAAUUCAUAGAAAAAAGUCAAAGAUAUAAUAUAUAUGGAAAUUAGUAAGAGGCAGCUUGCAAUUUCCAGGAGGUGGACUAUAAUUAUAAAGAAAAAGAAACAAUAAAGUGAUGAAAAUAAUGUGAUAUAUACAAUUUGAUGAAAAUAAUUGGAGUCUUUCCACACUCCCCAGUUGCUUCAACAUCCUUAAUGAACACCAUGCAACUUAUAUCAAAAACAACCAGUGCAACAAUGAAAUAAGCUUUCAAGCUAAACAUCUCUGCUAAACAAACUUUUCAACACCCAAUUUGCAGAAAUUUGAAACAAUGAAUGCCUAACAUAUACCAACGUUGCAACAUAUAUAAUACUAUUGUCUAUGUUAGUGGUGCCCAUCGAUCAAGUGAGCCAAGGCUAAUAAUUUCCUUUUACUCUUUAUUACAUCCAAUCUCACCUUCACGAAUAUUUUAGGGCAGCAGAGCUAAUAUUUAGUAUUUUGGAUUUAAAUUUUAAAAAUAGUAUAAAUUUAGUAUUUAGGGCAGCAGAGAUAAAAGAAAAUUUGUAAACAAAUCAUGGUAGAACGAAUUAGAAAAAUACAACACUGAAAUUCGUUUUUUUACAGACUUGAAAUAAGCUACGGAGGGCGAAAUUUACCUAUGGUUGCGAUAGCGGAGAGUGACGGCGACGACGACGCAGCAGAGAGGACAGCGGACGGCGAUGAGUAGGUGGUCGGGUUGGCGUCUUUAGUGGUAUGACAAAAGGAUAUGGCUAAGUAUCGGGUAUGACAAAAGGAUAAAAUGUAAGAAAGGAAAACGACGCCAUUUUGGUAACAAAAAAGUUGACCGUUUAUGGCGUUCUUGAAAAGCGCCGCUAAAGCCAAUCUAUUACGGCGUUUAUAAGAUAGCGCUGCUAAACCCCCUAAAGCUCUGACGUGUUUUCAUUAAAGUUAAAUGUUUUUUACGGCGUUUUCUAAAAAUCGCCGCUAAUGCCCUACCAAAAACGACGAUGUCUCAAUUAAAGUAAAAUACUUUUUGUGGCGUUUUUUUCAAAAGUGCCACUAAUGGUCGGUCCAUUGCGGCGUUUUCAACAAAGCAAUGCCCUACCAAAAAUGGCGACGUUUUAAUUAAAGUAAAAUACUUUUUGCGGCGUUUUUUCAAAAGCGCCACUAAUGGUCGAUCGAUUGUGGCGUUUUCUACAAAGCGCCACUAAUGCCCGAACAAAAACGGCACUGUUUUAAUUAAAGUAAUUUUUUUGCUACGUUUUCUCAAUUGCCCCACUAAAAGUCGAUCUAUUGCGGAGUUAAACGCCGCUAAUAACCUAUUCAAAACGGCACGUUUUGAUUAAAUGAAAUUGUUUUUUGCGGUGUUUUUUCAAAUGCGCCACUAAUAGUCGCUUUAUUGCGGCGUUUUCUGGAAAGCGCCGCUAAAGCCACUAAAGAUGCAUCCGAAAACGGCGCCGUUUUAUUUAAAGUAAAUCGUUUUUUGCGGCGUUUUCGACCAAGCGCAGCUAAUGCCUCUAGAGAAACGGCGUCAUUUUGUUUAAAGUAAUAUGUUUUUUGCGGCGUUUUUGACUACCUUCUAUAGUAAUAAUUUUUUUUAGUUUAAUAAUUUAUUAAAUUCCUUUAAACUAAUUUUGUUUUGUUUCUAACAAUAUAUUUAAUUUGUAAAAUUUAAUAAUUGUGUAUGAAAAUAAUUUAAAACAAUGAAACCAAACUUCCUUACGAAGAGUUUGUGUCCAUGAGUUUAAUUUUUUGUGCAGCUGAUAAAAUUUAAUUUCUCAAAAUUUAUCCCUAAAGCCUAAACCCUAGAUCCUAAACUCUAAAUUAUAUGUACCCUAAAUCUUAAACUCUAAAAUAUAUAUCUUAGCCCAUUAACCCUAAAUUGUAAACCCUAUAUAUAUUACAAGGUACAAAAGUAAUUAAAAAUAAUAAUCUUAUUGCUUACCUAAACCCUAAAAUAACUUUAUUUUUUGUCACUUUUAUCAAAUCCCUAACCCUUAAACAUUAAUAUCCUAACCCUUAAAACCAUAAACACUAAAACCCUAUUUACAACACAUUAAACCCCAAAUCACAAACCAUAAACCAUAGAUCUUAAAACACAAAACCCUAAAUCUAAAAUUCUAAAUAUUAAACCAUAAACCCUAAAAUCAUCGACCUUAAACCUUAAAUAUUAAAUUUUAAAUUCUAAACCCUAAAAUACAAUUAUUAUUUUUUAAGGCGUUUUUAUCAUAAACGCCGCUAAUGCUUGCCCUUUUGCGGCAUUUUUACCAUAAACGCCGCUAUAGCUUUAAACUUUUACGGUGUUUUCCUAUUAGUGCCACUAAUGUAUAACUUUUGCGGCUUUUUUUACCAUAAACGCCGCUAUAGCUUUAAACUUUUACGGUGUUUUCCUAUUAGUGCCACUAAUGUACAACUUUUGCGGCUUUUUUUUCCUAAGCGCCACAAAAAUGCCGCUAAAAACCUGUUUUACUAUAGUGGCGAUAUUUUCAGGUGCUGUCAUCGCAAAUGAUGCUGAGGAGGCUGAGAUUGGUUUUGAGACCUUGGUUGCUUCAAUCAGCUUUUGCAGAGAUUGAGAUCGCUAAGAUGAAGGUUGGAAAUGUCGUUUUCUCAUUGGCGGAAAAAAAAGGUAAUGAUAUGGCUUCUCCUUGGCGAUGGCAGAUGUUAAUCAGACGCAAAUGUUUAAAACUUGGUGGUGAUGUUUGGUUGUGAAGAUUUAGCAGGUUACAUGUUUUGUGCUUGGACUGUGUUCUUUAUUCUGUUUUGCUGUUAAUUUUUUAGUUCUUGGACGCUACUCUGUUUUUUGUCAGUGCAGUUUGAACGAAGCAAAAAAAAAAAAAGAGAAAAAAAUCCCCUUUCUUCUUUUUCUGAGAGUGUGUUCAAUGUUAAACUUGAUGAUACCAAUGAAGACAUUGGUUGGAUUCCUUACUGCUUUUUGUUUGUUUUUAACACGUCCAUUGACUUGUAAUAGUAAAAGUCUUGGCAGUUUUAUUGUUAUUGAUAGACCCCCAAUAAUGCACAUAUUUAUGCAGUCUCGUGGUGGAGCCCCGACAAGCUAUCGACAUCCUUGGAAGACAAUAUAUUGUUACAUCUUCGGCAUCUCAUACCAGUGGUGCCAGAAGAAGCGAAACCCAAUAACUUCAGGCAAUGGUUCCAAUAACCAUUCCUUGAAGGAUAAAACAAAGACUCCAAGUUCAGACACAGAUAGUGAGUUCUUGGUUAGUAAUUUGUUCUUUUCAUUGGCUAUGAAGAUUACUAUUUUGUUCUUGUUCUUAUGGUUUUCCAAGUGUAAAGUAAUGAUUGUUUUGGUUCUUAAUAAAAGUUGAAUUAAUUUUCUUAGCAAAAUGAACAAAUAUAUAAAAUAUUAUCAAAAAAAUCAUUUCGAACGGUUCUUAAGAGAAACCAUUGACUUGUAAUUAAUCCAAAGUCUUUGUGCUUUUAUUGCCUAAUUCAUAAAAAUUAUUCCAAGUCUUGCAUUGAUGGACCCCAUAAACCAUGCUUUUAAAAGCACAUGCUGGGAAAUAAACUGGAUUAAAAUAAAUUCCACCCAAAAAAAUAAGCAACAAGACCAAAUUAAUUUAUAACUUGUAAUUGGGGUAGGUUGGCACCUUCCUUUAUUGAAUAAAUAUCAAAAUUGUAUUUGAAAUUUAAUUUAAUUAAUAAUAUCAUAUAUAUAAAUUUUAAUUUUAUGUAAUUAUAUAUGAAUCUUUUAUUUGAUUCAAUCUUCACAAAUUACUAACAAUUUUAUCGAAUUAAUGUAAUUUACAUUAUUAUAUUGUAUACACAAAUAAUUAUAUUAAUCUAGUAUGAAAAUAAAUACAUGCAAUUUAAACAUAUACAACUAAAUUAAAAUUAAAAUUUUAUAUAUAAUUACAUCAAAUCAAAUUGUAGCAUCAAAUUUUAUAUAUAAAUUAAUAAAUAGUUUUUUUAAAAUAAUAUAAUUAAAUGAAUUUGACAGAAAAGAAAAAAAAAAUUCUUAUCUUUGUCCAAGUAAUUCCCACCACAAAAUAGGAGAUUCGAUACGAUGCUUUGUAGGUCCAAUGUAGGGCAAGAAUGUCGAAACUUUAUUUUAGUGAGGAAUGAAUUAUUUUAUUCCAGGAAAUGAAUUACCUUGUGUUGCAGCAACUUUCCUCAAAAUCCGUACUCCGAAAAUGAAGAAAGCUCGUAAAGCUGAGAAUAUGCAUCUCAAAUCUCGUAAACCUGAAUUUCUCUUCAUAUUUUUAUUCUUAUACACCCUUCCUAUGGGGUUACUUGUUCAUUUUACCAUGGCUGCAGCAAUUGAUGAUGGUAACAUCCAUUUCAAUUUGACUGAUUUCACCCCAAAUAUGCCUCACAUACAGUUUGAAGCUGAUACAACCGCAUCAAGUGGCCAAAUCCAACUCACCACCAACCAGAGAAACAAGCCUUUGAACGGUAGUGUUGGUCGAGCCACUUAUUACCAACCAAUGCACCUUUGGGACAAUUCAUCAGGGAAGCCCCGACUUGCAGAUUUCACCACUCAUUUUUCUUUCUCCAUCGAUUCCUUGAAUAAAUCCUCCGGAGAUAGGGGUGAUGGGUUUGCGUUUUUCCUUGCUCCCGAUGGCUCAAAAAUCCCUCCUCACUCCGGAGGUGGUUGCUUGGGACUUCAAAGUUGCGAUUCAGACGCAGUGGAAUUUGAUACGUAUCCCAAUGUAUGGGAUCCUCUGGGGUUAGAUCACGUGGCCAUUGAUCUCAACUCUAUCAAGACUUCUUUUUACCCUGUCCAAUGGACGUGGAGUGGCAUUGAACAUGGAGGAAAGGUUGAUACUUUCAUCACUUACAACUCUAGUACAAAAAACCUGAGUGUCUUUUUACUUGGUGCUGAGGACUUUAAUCGUCUAAAUUCAUCUAAUCUUUCCGCAAUAUUGGAUCUUAGUCAAUAUUUACCAGAAUGGGUCACUUUUGGCUUCUCCGGAUCCACUGGAUCUAGCAUUGAGCUACACACUAUUUGUUCCUGGAGUUUCAGCUCCAACUUACAAGUUUCCAUGAAUAAAACCAUCAAUCCUCAAAAUCUACCACCAAUCCCUCCAUUCAACUCCAGAAGG